AAAUGAAAAGGAAAUAAAAUUAACUAACGGAAUUGAAAUUAUAAGGGCUAAAACUUAAACAUACAGCCAAUAACCCUAGCCCCUUCUUCUAUACUUUAGCCAACUCCUAAAUCCCCACUUCAAACGACCGAUUCCCAUCCCCCAAACAACAAUCUGCACAUUGAAGCUUACAAGACGAAAUUUUUAGCCUCAAGAUCUCCUCCUGACUUCGAUUUCAACAAAGUAGAAGAAGACCUACGGCGUAUUUACGAGGUAGCCCCUUUCCCUUUUUUCUUUUUCUUGUUUUUCUUUCGAAUACAAGAACCACAAAUCCUGAAAAAUGAAAUCAAAGAAAAUAAAGCAUUUAGAGAUCUUGAAUCGGAAAUCACCUUGUGUAUUUCAGUAUGCGUAGUGUGCAUAAGUUUUUUGCAGGUACAUUCGUCGGCUUUUAUAGCCGGAGUUACAGAGUAAAAUCAAAAAAUAAAAUAACAUUUUAUUGCUGUUAUUUGCUGUAGAUUUUAUUAUUCUCCUUCUCGUAUGUUUCAUUUGCAGGAAAGGCCGUACACAAGCACGAGAGGAGACGCGCGCGAGGGGCUGGUGGAGCCCGAGUGGUGCUCAUCCGAAUUACUGGCUGCUGCGCGAGAGGGAGAACCCUUAGAGCUUCUGAAACAAUCACCUGGACUAGUCUUUGGGUCAUGUAUGAAUGGGCUGGGACUUUGGGUUAUUAAUUAAUUGGGUUUAGAUUUAUGCAAUUGGGUUUUAAAAAAUGUAUCUGGGCUGGACUGUAUAUAUAUUUUUUGGGUUAAAUAACUUGUAAAUGGAUAUUGACUUAUUCUGGGCUGUUCAUUGUCUUUGUUUUUAUUUUUUGGUUUUUGGUUUUGUAUGGGCUCGGGCGAAUUGGGCCUAUUACAAUUGCGCUCAACAGUUCUUUAUAAGUGUUCCACUAUUUUUUGUUUUAUUUAACGAUGAGAUGUCAUGUUAUUAUUCACUGAUAGUGCAUUCAGGGGCGAAUGUAGAAAUUUUAUUUAAGGGAGGCCAAGAUAAGAUUAUAAAAUUUGAAGAGUCAAAGCUAAAAAUUUUAUAUUAAAAAUAUUUAAAUUAAAUUAUUACUUUUUCAAAAGGACUAAAAUUAUGAUUUUUUUCAUUUAACCAAAAGUCAAAAAAAAUAAUAAUAAAUUGAAUCUAGUAAUUUUAGAGAAGAAAUAUUAAUGCAAUUAUAUAGUUAAGGGUGGGCCAAGGCUUUACCUAUCCCUUUAACUACGCCUCUUGAUACAUAAGACUUAUGUACCGAUAAUAUAUUAAAUAUUUUCAUUUUUUAAUAAUUUAUAUUAGAUGUGAAAAAGAGAAAAAAAUAAAAAUAAAAACAAACAAGAGUAAUUUAUGCAAAAAAAGUAGACGGGAGAACAACAGGCAACUUGAAGAACAAUUCAAGACAAAGAUUUAGAGUGCCAUAUUAAUUGGGUUAAGCAUUUUCUGCGUGUACAUAAUGUUAAAAAGAAGGGUAACUUUUUUCCCCAUCAUUUUAUUUCAAAUCAUUACAAGUUUUGAUGUCUCCAUCUUCCUUAUUUGCUUCCAAUGACCACUCGACUAUAAACUAUUAAAACUUAAUUAUUUAUGGUUUAUUUAUGAUUUUGGAUUAAUUUUGACAGUUUGUAAUUCUGGGGCUCUCUGGACUUUAUGGUUUUAUAACUGUUGGUUUUGGAUUUAUACGUUGUUAAUGCAUGCUUAAGCAAAACGUUUUUCUCUAAAAAUGACAAUUUGUACGCAAACAAAGGUUUUUCUUAAACAUGAUUGCAUUUUCAAAAUACAAUUGUUUCAAGGCUUUUGCUAUAAUAAGUUUUGGCAAAGGGACUAAUUAGAUGGUGUUUUAAGUAAAAACAUGAUUGUUCUGACGAGAUAACUUCGUUUUUAAAACCCCUACCUUGUGGCACUUUUAGAUUCAGCUCUGACGUCUAGGCCGGGUUUGGGGUGUUAAUUUAGUGGUAUCAGAGUCAAGUUGUAAAACUCGGGUUGUGAAAUUUUGGGUUCCAAAAUUGUGUUUUAAAAAGAGUUAGUUAAUUUUAAAUGAUUUGAAUAAUUUGAGAAAGUAUGUGGUACACUGAGUCUCCAGCCUCGAUCCUAUGAGUAUCUCUAUACUUAGAUAGAAUCGUCCUGAAACACUGUAGAUAGUACUUUCUGAAACUAUAUUGAAAUAGUUAGAGACUGAAACUUCUGAAAACAAUUCUAAACUUAUGAUAAUUUAUGCAUAAAACACCUACUAAUAAAUACUAAAACUAAUGCAUAAAAUUUUUAAUGUAGAUAAAACUCGAAAUAUACAAUGAGCGACGAGCGAACGUGGCAUUCGAGGCCAUGGUAGAGGCUGUAGGGGGUCUCGAUCUGAGUUUUCCUUUCUGGGCAGUAUACCGAACUUGGAUACGAGUAAGACACUAGUUUCAUUUGUUACUAAGACUGGGUCUCAGAGUCGCUUGGUUGGGGACGAUGCACUGUCCCAAGCCAUGUUGAAGAUCUUAGAGAGGGUCACUAGACCUCAUUCUGGAGUUGCGGGCUGAGGGUCAGUAACUGAAUGACUCCGGUCUAAUGGUGUUGAGUUGUUUAGGGGUGUCACUAGAGUCGCCCCUAAUGUGGCCGAGUAUUCGUUGGAGGCCACUGAGAGGAUUAUGAAUGAUCUAGACUAUACUCCUGAGCAGAAAUUGAAGGAUGCAGUCUCUUUGUUUUGUGAUGAGGCUUAUCAAUGGUGGUUGACAGUUGAGGAGGGAACUGAGCCUGAUCGUCUUAGUUGGGAUUUCUUUAAGACUACCUUUCAGAGCAAGUAUAUAGGAGCGAGCUAUGUGGAUGCUCGUAGGCGUGAGUUUAUGAGUCUCACGUAAGGCGAUAGAUCUGUUGUUGAGUAUGAGGCCGAGUUUCUGAGGCUGAAUCGUUACGCUCGAGGCAUGGUGGCAACUGAGUAUGAGAGGUGCGUUUGAUUUGAAGAUGGCUUAAGGGAUAAUCUGAAGGUGCUGAUUGCUCCACAAAUAGAGUAAGAGUUUGCAGUUUUGGUUGAGAAGACGAAGAUCGCCAAAGAUGUUAAGCGCAUGAAGCACCACAAUAGGGAUCGUGAGAGGGGUAAAAACAAGAGGAAAUCAGAGCCCUCUAGUUCUAUUCAGAGGCCUAAGAAAAAGGCCAGAUCUGAUGGGCUAGUUAGAGUAGGGGCUCCUGUUGCUACUACUGAGAUUCAGUUGUACGGUGAUUGUGGUAGGCGCCAUUCGGGUGAGCGUUGGAGGAAAAUAGGGGCUUGUCUGAGGUGUGGGUCAUUAUAGCACUGUAUUCGAGAGUGUCCAUAGAGGCUUGAUCAGGUGCAAGCUGCAGGACCUAGUUCUGCGCAGCCAUAGAGGGUAGUUCAGCAACCACCUAGGGGCCGUGGUCAGGCUAGGGUGGUAAUGGUAUGGGUCGUGGGCAGAGGGCACUGGGCAGAGGUGCUAGUCAGAUUGAGGUGAGACAGCCUGCACUGGUUUAUGCUACAUGACGCCGAGAGGAUAGAGAUGCUCCUGAUGUCAUCACCAGUACAUUCCUUAUAUUUGAUGUGCCUUAUACUGAUUUCAUAGAUAUAGGUUCCACUCACUCCUAUGUAGCUAACACUAUAUCUGAAAAUCUAGGGAUUUCUGUGGAGAACACUUCUAGUGAGAUUACUGUACUAAGUCCGUUGGGGCAGACUGUUCAUGUUAGUAAACUCUAUAGGGAUGUUCCGUUAAUGGUACAAGGGGCUGUCUUCCUGGAAAAUUUGAUGGAGCUUCCAUUUAGGGAGUUCGAUUUAAUUUUGGACAUGGACUGGUUGGUUGAGCACCGAGUCAGUUUGGACUAUGCAUCUAAGAGGGUCGUUCUGAGAACCAAUGAUGAUAUGGAGGUGGUUGUAUUUGGUGAGCGUCAAGAUUAUUUGUCUAAUAUGAUGUCCGCUCUUAUGGCUGAAAAACUGGUUUGAAAAGGGUGUAAGGCGUACUUGGCUUACGUCAGUGUUUCUGAUUUUGGGGAUUCCUCUAUCGGAGAUAUUAGAACGAUGAGGGAUUUUUUGGAUGUCUUCCCUAUGGAGUUACUAGGUUUACCUCCGAAUCGAGAGGUUGAGUUUGGAAUUGAGCUCCUUCCGAGUACAACUCCAAUGUCUAUUGCUUCAUACUGUAUGGCACUGAAGGAGCUUACUGAGCUUAAAGCUCAACUUUAAGAACUUCUAGAUCGUGGUUUCAUCUGUCCCAGUGUGUCUCCCUGGGGGGCACCAGUUCUGUUUGUUAAGAAGGAUGGGACCAUGAGAAUGUGCAUCGAUUAUCGGCAGUUGAAUAAGUUGACUGUAAAGAAUAAGUAUCCAUUUCUGAGGAUCGAUGACUUGAUUGAUCAGUUUUGAAGGGCUUCAGUGUUUUCAAAAAUUUAUCAUCGUUUCGAUUAUCCUUAGUUGAGGGUUAAGGAGGUGGAUGUUUAUAAGACCACAUUUAGGACUUGUUAUGGACAUUACGAGUUCCUUGUGAUGCCUUUUGGUCUGAUGAAUGCUCCAACGACAUUCAUGGACUUGAUGAAUCGGGUGUUUCAGCCUUAUCUGGAUCAGUUCGUUGUGGUCUUUAUCGACAAUAUUCUGGUAUACUCUAAGACCGAGGAUGAGCAUUAUGAGCACCUUAGGGUACUACUUCAGAUUCUACAUGAGAUACAACUUUACGUUAAGUUAACUUUACGCUAAGUUGAGCAAGUGUGGGUUCUGGUUGCAUGAAGUGACUUUUUUAGGGCAUGUGUAACACCCCCUAACCCUAAACUGUUACCGAAAUAGAGUUACGGACCAGUACCAGACCUUUCAGAAAUAUUAGGAACCUUACACAUAAAUAACAUACAUAUUGUCCCUUUUAUGGACCCUCGAGGCCCAAAAAAUGUGAUAGAAGUGAAUCGGGACUAAUUCGAGUGCUCGAGAAAAUUUUCAUGAAAUUCUAAUUUUUUUAUUUUUAUUUUUUAUUUUUAACAAAUAAAGGGCUCGUACUGUAUAGACCGGAUCAUAAGGGCUCAAUAUAACCCCUUUAUAAUCAUCUAACCAACCCUGCAAACUUAAAACAUACCUAAUUCAAACCAAUAUCACAACCAUUACAAUUUUAUAUACAAUUACAUUUAAAACAUAUCAAGCCACCAACCUGAUAAUCUAUUCACUAAACAUUUACAAGCAACAUUAAUAUUAGUUUAGAAAUUUCAUUUUAUUUCUAUUUCAAAGUUUAAUAUCAUAUGUGCCAUUUUAUCUUCUUAUUCUUUCAUAUGUCAUCUAUUACAACCAAAAUCCACCAUGACACAUAUACAUAACCUAGGUACAUGCCACAAUUACCAAAAAGAAAUAUAUACAUCACCAAGUUUCUAAGGUCAGGAUUGGCUUUGGAUGCUGGACUGGAUCGUUUGACUUCUACUAACCUGUGCAUGGAAAACAACCAUACGCUUAGUAUAUUAUACUCAGUGGUAUUACUAUAAUUCAAAUUUGUAAAUCAUGCAAAUAAGUAUACUUAUUCAAUUUAUACUUUUAUCCUUUUAAUAAUUGAUACAUAUUAAAUCAAUCUAUUUAAUAAUAAUAGUAACUUUUCAAACUUGUAUCCAAUUGAAUUCAUACAAUAUUUCACUAUAUCAAAAUUCAUUCCAUUCCCACAUCUCAUAUCAAUAUGUCUUUCAUUUCAUAUAUAAAAUCAUUCAAUAGAAUUUAUAUUAUCAAAAUUUAUUCCUUUUCCCUAUUAACGUGAUUCGGACUUUGACGGACACACGGAUCCAAUCAAACACACCAAUAUGACACCCAGUGCCUCAUCGGAUAGUUUGAAGCAAUAAGUUGACACCCAGUGUCUCAUCGGCAAUGCCAAAGUAAGUUGGUACCCAAUACCUCAUCAAAUCUAUCUGAAGUAAUAUAAUGACACUCAGUGUCUCAUCAAAUCGAAGUCCAAGUAACCCUGAACACUUCCAAUCUUAUAGCAUGCUAACUAUAUCCGACUUAGCUCGACUAGUUAAUAGGGUUUCCAAUUCACUUUCUCAAUUCAAUUUCAAUCAAAUUCAUACCAAUCACAAAUUCUCAUAUUUUCAAUUCAAUAUUACAAUAACUUAUUUAAUUUAAUUCAAUUCAAAUCAUCUUCAAAUUCCAAUCAAUAUACAUUCAAAUAUUCAUAUUCACAUAAUUCAUAAUUCAAUAUCAUUUCUUACCUCAAUUCCACUUACCACACACAUUAAUUAAAAUUAAAAAAUAAAUAAUAACUAAAUUCGAAUUAUAGUAAUACAAACCAGAAUUUCUCCCGAGUUACUCUCUGACAAUCUUUUCCUUUCCUUUCUAAGCCGAUGUCUCCGGUUCGAUGUUAGCUACGAAAAUUAAAAUUAAAAUAAUUUAUAAUUAUUAAUACAACAAUUAUUCACAUCAAAUACUUGAAUUUCCUAUUUAAUUUCUACCUUAAUUCCAAUUUAAUCCUUAACUAAAAUCAUCUAUUUUUUCAUCCCAAUUCAUACCUUAUUUAUAUUCAAUUUUCAACCAAACUUAAACUUAACUCUCUAAUUUUCAUCAUAAAUACCUAAUUUCAAAUUUCUUACAAUGUAGUCCCUAUUACACAAAAUUUAUAGCCUAUUCUACAAUCUAAUCAUUUUCCCACUUCCAACUUGAAAUUCUAUUAAUUCAAUCCCUAAGUCACACUUUUACUCGACAAAAUUAGUAUUUAAAAAUCUAAUAACUUCUGAAAUUUCAACAUAUAUCUAGCAGUAUUUUGUUCUACGAUCAUAAAAACUCAAAAAUUACAAGAAAAUGACUUAAAUUGAUUUACCAAUUUGAAUUUGAACCUUUGAAAUCCCUAGAUUAUUUUCUUUCCUUUUUUUUCUUCUUUCUCUCUGUUUCGUCCCUCAACUAUCCUGUUUCUUUUGUUUUAUAUAUAUAAUAUAAUAAUAUAAUAUAAUCUAAUAUUAAUAUAAUAAAAAAUAAUAUAUUAUAAUAAAAAUCUUAACUAAAAAUCUUUGAUAUUUUAAUGUUAAACUGCCUCAAUUAACUAAAAUUGCUUAAUUGCUUAUUUAGUCCUUUUCACUUUCUUUAAUCUAUAAUUAAACUUUUACCUCUAUUACAAUUUAAUCAUUUUUCUUAAGUACUCCUAAUUAAAUUAAAUUCACCUAACUAGAACCUAAUUAAACACACAACUAGCUUCGUAAAUAUUUUUAAUAAAUAUUUACGAAUUUGUUUUACUAACACGGAGGCCCAACAACAUAUUUUUUCGAUGCCCAUGAAUUUUAGGUUAUUACAUUUCUCCCCCUUAAUAAAUUUCAUCCUUGAAAUUUACUUGAAAAGAGAUGGGGGUACUGAGAUCUCAUUGUUUCUUCUGGUUCCCAAGUUGCUUCCUCCAGAUUAUGACUUCUCCACAAUACUUUCACUAAAGGAAUCCGGUUAUUUCUUAACUCUUUUACUUCCUGGACUAAUAUCUGAACCGACUCUUCUUCAUAAGAUAAAUCAAGUCGAAUUUCUAUAUCUUCAGUAGAAAUGACAUAGGAAUGAUCCGAUCUAUAUCUCUGUAGCAUUGAAACAUGAAAAACAUCAUGGAUUUUUUGUAGUUCCGGAGGUAAAGCUAAUCGAUAAGCAAUUGACCCAAUUCUUUCCACGAUCCCAUAUGGCCCAAUAAAAUGAGAGCUCAGUUUUCCUUUCCGCCCAAACCUCAAGAUUUUCUUCCAAGGCGACACCUUAAGAAAUACUUUAUCACCGACAAAAUACUUUAUAUCCCGACGCUUCAAAUCUGCAUAUGAUUUCUAUUUAUCAAAAGCUGCUUUUAAUCUCUCUCAAAUAUUCUUAUAUAUUUCUUUUGUUUCUUGAAUUAACUCCAACCCAAUUAUUUUUCUUUCACUCAAUUUCAUCCAACAUACAAGCUACCAACAUUUUCGACCACAUAGAGCCUCAUACGGAGCAAUUUGAAUACUUGAUUGGAAACUAUUAUUAUAGACAAACUCUGCCAAUGGUAAAUAACAUUCCUAACCUGAGUCAAAAUCAAUGAUACAAGCUCGUAGCAUGUCUUCUAGAAUCUAAAUCACCCGUUCAGAUUGUCCAUUAGUUUGUGGAUGGAAAGUUAUACUGAAAUUAAGUCGAGUACCCAAAGACUCAUGCAAUUGUCUCUAAAACCUCGAUGUAAAUCGUGGAUCCCGGUCAGAGAUUAUAGAUAAAGGAAUACCAUGUAAUCUCACAAUCUUCCGAAUAUAAACCUCAGCAAGCUUUUGAAGUGAUUAAUCAGUUCUGACUACUAUAAAAUGAGUUGACUUUGUAACUGGAUCAACAAUCACCCAGAUGGCAUUUUUCUUACUUGCUGAUAAUGGUAGCCCCGUCAUAAAAUCCAUUAUAAUAUAGUCCUAUUUCCACUCGGGAAUAUUAAUAGGCUGUACUAAUCCAGUAGGAACCUAAUGCUCUGUAACGCCUCAAAAUCUCGAACUUUCUUAUUAUUUUGGUUUUGAUAAAAUGUGUGCUUAAUAUUCCUAGUUAAGUGCUAAUUAUGUGUUACUAGGCUUGGGUUAGUUUUGGGGUUCGAACUUAGGGGUGAAGGAAAUUAUAGUUUACUAACCAAAAGAACCUUAUUGGCUAGUGGGUUGGUUUUUAAAUAAAUGAAGAAGGAUUUGGACACAAAAAGCCUUAUGUUGGAGUGGCAAGUGGCGUCACAUGUGGGCUUUAAAUGUGGCGUCACAUGCAUGACAAGGAGGUUCGGAGUUCGAAUCCCUCUUUGCUCAAAAUGAGGAUUUAUUUUUGCUCUAUAGAUGGUCAGUAGUGGCAUUGGAUAUAAACUCUAUAGGGAGUGAUAAGAGGAGAAAUUUAAGGAAAUGAUUAAGGAGCUAUUAGGGAGGAAAAUUAGAAGAUGAUGAGUGAAGAGAGGUGGAGCCAAAUUGGGAAUUUGAGGAUAAGAAAUUCAACUAUAGACUAUAUAUAGGUGCCGAUUGUGGGGAUGCCAGGCUAAUGUCGAACUCUCCCUCUCUAUGUUACCAAAAACACCUUUCUCUCUAAAGAUCUAAAAGCCAAAAUCCCUUGUUCUUCUCUUCUUCUUUGUGCCGAAUAACCUUUUUCACCAUACAAAUCUCAAAAGCUGAAUACCUUCUGUGCCGCCACUACUCCCUCUACUUCGGCCAAUUCUAGUGUAAGUGCUUACUUUUUCAAUAGGUUUUUACUAUUAUCGAUUACUCUUAUCCCUUACUCUUUCUAAAUCAGUUUUGGUAGGGAUUAGUAUUGAAUCUCAGUCUUUUGGUCUUCUGUCGAUUUGCUCCUUAGGUGUUGGGACUUUGGUAAGUGUUCUUCACUUUGGUAAGGAUUGGCCAAAUGGGCUUUAGUAGGAAAUGGUGACUUAUGUUGGAUACAAGUCACCCAUUAUGUUUUUAACGAUAAAGGUUAAUGCAAAUCUGGGAAGUACUUGUGAUUAGUGAUCAAAGGAAAGCUAUUAAGGCUUGGCAUUUCAGUUAAGGUUAAGGUGAGAUUUCGGGUAUUAGUAAAAGUAUUCGAUAAGUAUGUGUGAUUAAUCAUUGAGUGACAUCGAUUGUAGGUUCAUGGCUAGAUAGAUUGCAACACGCUUUAUUACCAGGUGUGUACAUACACUACACACACACAGUAGAUCGGCAAAUCCCGAAAUGUCGAAAAGUCGAAAUGCCGAAAAGCUAAAACUUUGGCUACAAUAGACUUGCGAGUGCGCGAAUACUCGUAAGGGGAAACCGAUAGGUUAUCAGAGGCCCCAUGAGCAAUACCAUGGACUUGGGCCGUGUUUUGGCCAACCGGGCUAAAUGAGCCCGAUGGGCUGCAGAGCCCAUAAUAGGCAAAAUUGGAAACUUGAUACUAAGUGAUGAGAAAUUGUAUGAAAGCAUGACUGUGAAUGUGAUUUGGGCCUAAUGGGCCAUACGAAUGUGAUUUGGGCAUAAUGGGUCAUAUGAAUGAGAUUGGGCCUAGUGGGCCAUAUACAUGUAUGUAAACUUGUUUGGGCUUUGUAAGGGGGUUAUGGGCGUAGUAACUGAAACUGCUUAAAUGGAAAUAAAAAUUAAUUAAUUAAUUGCAACCGUGGAUAAGUCAUAAGGUUAAGGUGUGGCAAUGGGUAUAUGCAUGUCUAGGAUUGGAUCUAGGGAGAGCUUAGUACUUAAGCGGUCUUAAUGACUCACCUCCUCUUCUCUAGAAUCCUACCUGGUGCAGAGUAUCUGUUCACUUUAGCCAACGAAGACUUGUUAACGGGCCAAGGUAAGUAAUAAACCCAUAAUAAAGAGAAAUUAUCGAAAUGCCCUUAAGGGCGAAAAUGACUAAAAUACCCUUACAUGUGGAAUGUAAGAUUUAUGGAUGUUACAUGUAUACUUGCUGCAUUUAUAUGAUAUUCUGUUAGGUUGCAUAUAGGAUGGGAAUUAUGGAACGGAGGAAGUAUAUAAGGAUCGCAUGGUUGCUUAACAAUCGUGGAUCCACCGACGGCUAUUAAGCCCAAUAUGUGAUUAGCAGCUUGCUGUAAUGAGGGUAGUACCGCAAUCGGGCUACCAUUGAUGUGUAUCUGAUGGGUGGGUCGAUAUUUAUAUCCCCACAUGAUGUGUACUGGGGGACAGAGUUGGUGUAUAGCAGUUGGAAUAUUGGGGUGGGUUGCAUAGCAUUGCAUGUGUGACAUUCUGGUGAUUGAUGAUUGCUUGAGACUCUUCGAGGGUUGUACACAUUGAGUUUUCGUAAACUCACCCUCUCUAUUAUUUUUCUCAGGAGAUGGCCAGUAGGAGGUUCGACGGAUGGAGGGACUCUGAGGUGGCCAGCUAGCAAGACGACUUGGACAUGUUUUUAUUAUUAUUAUAUAGUUUCUAGUUUAUUAAGUUAUUUCAGACUGGAUUGUAAUAAGGUAUUUCCUUUGGUUAUUAUUCUAAAUUAGGACUAUUAUUUUUAUGCUUUAUAUUUAUUUUUGAACAUAGGUUCCUAAACCUUAACUGUUUUUAUUGAAUACUACGUUUCCGCAACUCAAUUUUUAAAUGAAAAGUUUUCAUAAAUCAUCUGUUUUAAAUAAAGCUUCUGCAACUAAAAAGAGAUUUUACAAGUAUUUAAGGUUUUAAAAAUUUAAAGAAGGGUUUUCAAUGAAAAUAAGGUUUUCGCUAAAACACUUCAAUGUGACACGUUAGAUCUAGCCAUAACGUCCGGGCUGGGUUGGGGCAUUACAUAUAGUGGUAUCAAAGCUCAAGUUACAAAACUCGGGCUGUGAAGUGAGCCUUAUUAUUUGGGUUUUAUUUUAUUUUUUAAAAAAUUUGAUCACAAUGUUUUGGAAGAAAAAUCUUGCUGUGCGGCACACCGAGCAUCCGACGUCGAGCCAAGUAAGUUCUUUUACUAUUAAGCUUGUUUAAUUUGAUAUACUGUAGAUAGUUAGUGGGCUACUUUAGAUGAUUAUACUAAGGAUUUUAGAUUGAAACUGAAGCCCGUAGGACCUUGAAACUGUAGAGGAUUUACGAAAACAACCUUCUUUUUAAUACUUUCAUAAAAUAUCGGUUUAAUUAUUAAAACUAAUUAAAACUUCAUAAAAUUUCUAAUCCAAGCAAUACGUGAAUCAACGAUGAUUGCUAGAAGAUGUGUAAGAGGCCGUGGCCGAGGCCGCGGAAGUGUUAGGACUGGAUCGUCGACAUCGGGCCAUAUGCCCAAUGUUAGAGUAGAAGAGGCUUCGGCCUAACCCAUGGCUAAGACUAGACCAUAUGAUCGGGCUGCGGGGGAAGAUGCAUUAUCGCAGGCAAUACUGAGGAUUUUGGAAAGGGUUACAGGGCCCAAUCAUGGCACGAGAAAUCGGGGGUCCAUUUCGGAGCGAUUUCGAUCAACUGGGGCUAAGAUCUUCAAUGGCAUUGCUGGUGUGGCUCCUAACAUUGCUGAAUAUUGGUUGGAGGCUACUCAAAGGAUAAUGGAAGACUUGGACUAUUCACAUGAACAAAAGUUGAAAGGGGCAGUGUCACUACUUAGGGAAGAAGCUUACCAGUGGUGGCUGACGGUGAAAAAGGGCACCCAAUCUAAGCAGGUCACUUGGGAGUUUUUCAAAACUGCGUUUCAAGAAAAGUAUGUGGGUGCGAGUCAUGUGGAUGCUAGAAGGAAGGAGUUUCUGAACCUGAUCCAGGGAAACAAAUCUGUGACGGAGUAUGAGGCGGAAUUUCUAUGCCUUAGUAGGUAUGCAAGAGCUAUAGUGGCAACAGGCUAUGAACGUUGCGUUAGGUUUGAGGAUGGUCCUAGGGAUAGCCUCAGAGUAUUGAUAGCUCUAUAAAGGGAGUGAGUUUUCUCGGAGUUGGUUGAGAAAGCAAAGAUAGUGGAAGAGGUGAAGCACUGAGUGCUUAAAUCGAGAAAAAGAAAAAGGUAAAAAUAAAAGGGAAGUUGAGACUCAUGGUGUGGGAUAGAUGCCUAGGGCUAGGGCCAGAGUUAAUGGGCCAGUGAGAACAAGGCCCCCUGCUGUUAAUAUAGGGGUGCCACCUUGUGCUGAUUGUGGGAAAGGUUUUGUAGGCGAGUGUCGGAAGAGGAUGAGAGCUUGUCUAGCUUGUGGGUCUAUGGAGCAUAUAAUUAAGAACUGCCCUAGAAUGCUAGUUCAAGUGGUAGGCUUGGGCCGAGGUGGUGUUUAGCCUCCAAGGGGUGGUCAGCUGUCGCCAAGGGGCCGAGGGCAGGCCAGGGGCUGUAACGGCAAUAGACUUAGACGUGGAGCACCAGUAGAAAAUACUGGCCAUGUUGAGGCGAGACAGCAAACUUUGGUUUAUGCUACUCGUCGCCGAGAAGACGAGGAUGCUCUAGAUGUGAUAACAGGUAUGUUCUUUAUACAUGAGUUACCUUACACUGUAUUGAUUGAUAUUGGAUCGACGCAUUCAUAUGUUGCAUGCAAUAUGACUGAACCUUUGGGUGAUAUGUUUAAAAUUACUGCGAAUGAGAUUACUGUGAUAAGUCUGUUAGGUCAGUCAGUGGGAGUGAAUAAGUUGUUUAGGGAGGUACCCUUAGUAGUCCAAGGGGUUACCUUUUUAGCGGAUUUGAUGGAACUGCCGUUUAGCGAGUUUGAUUUAAUCUGGGGUAUGGAUUAGUUGAUGAAACACCGAGCCACCUUGGAUUGCGCUGCUGAGCGAAUGGUGUUAAAAACGACUGAGGAUAAGGAGGUGGUGGUGUUUGGGGAAUGCCAGAAUUAUCUAUCGAAUGUGAUUUCGGUAUUAAGGGCUGAGAAGUUGGUAUGAAAGGGAUGCGAGACCCAUUUGGCUUAUAUUAGCGAUACGGAGGUUGAGAGUCUUACUGUUAAGGAGUUGAGGAUAGUUAAGGAAUUUUUUGAUGUUUUUCCCAAUGAGCUGUCAGGGUUGCCACCUAGUAGAGAAGUAGAAUUUGGGAUCGAGUUAUUACCUGGCACGGCUCCGGUGUCCAUCGCCCUUAUCGGAUGGCGUCGAAAGUGUUGGUAGAACUUAAAGCACAGAUUCAGGAAUUGUUGGAUCGAUGAUUCAUCUGACCAAGUGUGUCUUUGUGGGGAGCACCAGUGUUAUUCAUAAAGAAGAAAGACGGGACGUUGCGAAUGUGCAUCGACUACCGGCAGUUGAACAAGUUAACUAUUAAAAACAAGUACCCUCUACCGAGAACUGAUAACCUUUUUGAUCAGUUUAAGGGAGCUUCUAUUUUCUCGAAGAUUGAUCUGUAUUCGGGGUAUCACCAAUUGAGGGUUAAAGAGGCGGAUGUUUAUAAGACGACUUUCAAAACUCGUUAUGGGCACUACGAAUUCUUGGUGAUGCCAUUCAAGCUAACGCACGCACCUGCCGCUUUCAUGGAUCUCAUGAAUCGGGUCUUCCAACCUACCUGGAUCGAUUUGUGGCAGUUUUUAUAUAUGACAUUUUAGUGUACUCAAGAGAUGAGGAUGAGCAUGAUGCACACUUAAGGAUUGUGUUGUAGACUUUGAGGGAGAAGCAGCUGUAUGCCAAAUUCAGUAAGUGUGAAUUUUGGCUAAAGGAGGUUACUUUUCUAGGGCAUGUGGUGUUAGCUGAGGGGAUUUAAGUGGAUCCCCGGAAAAUUGAAGCAGUGUUAGACUAGAAAACACCCAAGUCAGUGUUAGAAAUCCAAGUUUUCUGGGCUUGGCAGGGCACUAUAGGCGGUUUGUUGAGGGCUUUUCAUUAAUUACUGCACCGUUAACUAAGUUGUUGAGGAAGGGGGUAUCGUUUGAAUGGACGGACAAGUAGCAAGAGAGUUUUGGAAAGCUUAAGAAGGUCUUAACUGAGGCUCCUGUGUUGAUUCAGCCAGAGCUUGGGAAGGAGGUUACGAUUUUUAGUGACGCGUCGCAUGUGGGCUUGGGCUGUAUUGAUGCAAGAAAGAAAGGUGGUUGCGUAUGCGUCACGGAAACUUAAGACUCACAAGGUGAAUUACCCAACCCAUGACUUGGAAUUAGCCGCGGUGGUCUUCGCACUAAAAUAAUAGAGGCAUUAUUUAUACGGAGAGAGGUGCAUAAUUUGUUCGGACCAUAAGAGUUUGAAGUACCUCCUCACCCAGAGGGAGCUAAACCUUAGGCAGUACAGGUGGGUGGAAUUAUUUAAGGAUUAUGAUUGUACGAUUGAAUACUAACCUGAAAAAACAAAUGUGGUAGCUGACGCGUUGAGUCGUAAGGUUAAGUCGGGCUUGAGGGAUAUGCUUGCCUGUUUAAGUUUGUUGGAUGAUGGUAGCUUGUUAGCUGAACUUCAUGUAAAGCCGAUGUGGGUUGAGUAGAUAAGAUAAGCAAUUAGUGGAUGAGACUUUGGGUGCUCGUUUUAGACAAGUAGAGAAUAGGGAGACGUUAGACUUUGGGAUAAAUAGUGAAGGAGUGUUGUUUUUCUGCUGGAGAAUAUGUAUACCAAAGGAUGAUAAUCUAAGGCAGUCUAUUUUGUGGGAAGCACAUAGCAGUCUCUAUGCUAUGCAUCCUGGUGGAAACAAGAUGUAUCGGAAUUUGUGUGAGCUUUAUUGGUGGCCUGGACUUAAGCGCAAGGUUACGAAGUUCGUAAGUAAAUGCUUGGUUUGUCAAAAGGUAAAGGCGGAGCAUCAGUUGCCUUCAAGAUUGCUUCAGCCAGUAAAGAUUCCACUCUGGAAGUGGGAAAUGAUUACUAUGGAAUUUGUUAGUGGGCUACCUUGACGCCUACUAAGAAAGACUCGAUAUGGGUUAUAGUGGAUCGGUUAACCAAGUUUGCCUAUUUUGUACCGGUCUGCACCGAUUACUCGUUACACAAGCUGGCUAAGUUGUAUAUGGCGGAGAUUGUAAGGUUGCAUGGAGAGCCAGUUUCCAUAAUAUCUGAUAGGGACCUACGUUUCACUUCGCGAUUUUGGAAAAAGCUGUAUAAGGUGUUGGGUACUAGGUUGAACUUCAGUACGGCAUUCCACCCUCAAACUGAUGGACAGUCGGAGAGAGUGAUCCAAGUUUUGGAAGAUAUGUUGAGAGGGUGUGUAAUUGAGUUCCCGGGUAGUUGGGAACACUAUUUACCGUUAGCCGAAUUCGCGUACAAUAAUAGUUAUCAAGUGAGUAUUGGGAUGGCUCCGUAUGAAGCACUGUAUGGACGAAGGUGUCGAACUCUAACAUGUUGGACAGAAUUGGACGAAUGAAGAGUUUUGGGCCCUGAGCUAGUAGAAGAUAGUGAGGAUAAGGUAAAAUUAAUUCGGGAUAGGUUGAAGGAGGCAUUGGAUAGGUAGAAGUCGUAUGCUGACCUUAAGCAUCGAGAGAUAGAGUAUGCAGUGGGGGACUUAGUUUUUCUUAAGGUGUCACCAUGGAAGAAGGUGUUAAGGUUUAGAUGGAAGGGGAAACUAAGCCCAAGGUUUAUUGGGCCAUAUCGGGUUGUGAGGCAGAUUGGGCCAAUCGCUUAUCAGCUGUAAUUACCUUCUGAACUGAGCCAAAUUCAUGACGUGUUUCAUGUUUCCAUGCUAAGACGGUAUCGCUCGGAUCCUUCACAUGUUGUGGCAGUUGAGAGAAUUGAGGUUAGACCAGACCUAACUUUCGAGGAGGAGCCCAUACAAAUAAUUAGACGUGACGUUAAGGUACUGAGAAGGAAGUCCGUUCCUUUAGUUAAAGUGCUUUGGCGUAAUCACAAGCUGAGGAGGCUACUUGGGAACCUAAGGAAGCAAUGCAUAUCAAUACCCUCAACUGUUUGGAUCAGGUAAUUGAGGACGAAAUUCUUUUAGGGGGUAGAGUUGUAAUGCCUCAAAAUCUUGAACUUUCUUAUUAUUUCGAUUUUGAUAAAAUGUAUGCUUAAUAUUCCAAGUUAAGUGCUAAUUAUGUGUUACUAGGCCUGGGUUAGUUUUGGGGUUCGAACUUAGGGGUGAAGGAAAUUAUAGUUUAUUAACCAAAAUAACCUUGUUGGCUAGUGGGUUGGUUUUUAAAUAAAUGAAGGAGGAUUUGGACACAAAAAGCCUUGUGUUGGAGUGGUAAGUGGCGUCACAUAUGGGGCUUAGAGGUGGCGUCACAUGCAUGACAAGGAGGUCCGGGGUUCGAACCCCUCAUUGCUCAAAAUGAGGAUUUAUUUUUGCUCUAUAGAUGGUCAGUAGUGGCGUUGGAUAUGAACUCUGUAGGGAGUGAUAAGAGGAGAAAUUUAAGGAAAGGAUUAAGGAACUAUCAGGGAGAAAAAUUAGGAGAUGAGGAGUGAAGAGAGGUGGAGCCAAAUUGGGAAUUUGGGGAUAGUAAAUUCGACUAUAGUCCAUAUAUAGGUGCCGAUUGUGGGGAUUCCAGGCUAAUGCUGAAUUCUCCCUCUCUAUGUUACCAGAAACACCUUUCUCUCCAAAGAUUUAAAAGCCGAAAUCCCUUGUUCCUCUCUUCUUCUUUGUGUCAAGUAACCUUUUUCACCAUACAAAUCUCAAAAGCUGAAUACCUUUUGUGCCACCACUACUCCCUCUACUUCGGCCAAUUCUAGUGUAAGUGUUUACUUUUUCAAUCGAUUUUUGCUAGUAUUGAUUACUCUUGUCCCUUACUCCUUCUAAAUCGGUUUUGGUAGGGAUUAGUAUUGAAUCUCAGUCUUUUGGACCUCUGUCGAUUUGCUCCUUAGGUUGUGGGACUUUGGUAAGUAUUUUUCACGUUGGUAAGGAUUGGCCGAAUGGGCUUUAGUAGGAAAGGGUGACUUUUGUUGGAUACAAGUCACCCAUUAUGUUUUUAACGAUAAAGGUUAAUGCAGAUCUGAGAAGUACUCGUGAUUAGUGAUCAAAGGAAAGCUAUUAAGGCUUGGCGUUUCAGGUAAGGUUAAGGUGAGAUUUCAGAUUUUGGUAAAAGUAUUUGAUAAGUAUGUGUGAUUAAUUAUUGAGUGAUAUCAAUUGUAGGUUUAUGGCUAGGGAGAUCGUAGCACGCUUUAUUACCAGGUGUGUAUAUACACUGCACACACACAGUAGAUCGAAAAAUCUGGAAAUGUUGAAAAGUCGAAAUGCCGAAAAGUCAAAAUUUUCGCUACAAUAGACUUGCGAGUGCGUGAACACUUGUAAAGGGAAACUGAUAGGUUAUUAGAGGCCCCAUGAGCGAUACCAUGGACUUGGACCGUGUUUUGGCCAACCAGGCCUGAAUGGGCUAAAUAGGCCUGAUGGGCUGUAUGGCCCAUAAUAGGCAAAAUUGGCUACUUGAUACUAAGUGAUGAGAAAUUGUAUGAAAGCAUGACUAUGAAUGUGAUUUAGGCCUAAUGGGCCAUACAAAUGUAAUUUGGGCCUAAUGGGCCAUAUGAAUGAGAUUGGGCCUAGUGGGCCAUAUACUUUGUUUGGGCUUUGUAAGGGGGUUAUAGGCCUAGUAUCUGAAACUUCUUAAACGGACAUAAAACUUAAUUAAUUAAUUGUGACUGUGGAUGAGUCAAAAGGUUAAGGUGUGGCAAUGGGUAUAUGCAUGUCUAGGAUUGGAUCUAGGGAGAGCUUGAUACUUAAGCAGUCUUAAUGACUCACCUCCUCUUGUCUGGAAUCCUACUUGGUGCAUAGUAUCUGUUCACUUUAGCCAACGAGGACUUGUUAACGGGCAAAGGUAAGUAAUAAACCCAUAAUAAAGAGAAAUUACUGAAAUGCCCCUAAGGGCAAAAAUGACUAAAAUACCCCUAUGUGUGGAAUGUAAGAUUUAUGAAUGUUACAUGUAUACCUGCUACAUUCAUAUGAUAUUCUGUUAGGUUGCAUAUGAAGAUCGCAUGGUUGCUUGACAACCGUGGAUCCACCGGCGGUUAUUAAGCCCAAUAUGUGAUUAGCAGCUUGCUGCUAUGAGGGUAGUACCACAAUCGGGCUACCAUUGAUGUGUAUCGAAUGAGUGGGUCGAUAUUUGUAUCUCCACAUGAUAUGUACCGGGGGACGGAGUUGGUGUAUAGCGGUUGAAAUAUUGGGGUAGGUUGCAUAGCAUUGCAUGUAUGACAUUAUGGUGAUUGAUGAAUGCUUAAGACUCUUCGAGGGUUGUACACACUGAGUUUUCAUAAACUCACCCCCUCUUUUAUUUUUCUCAGGUAAUGGCCAGUAGGAGGUUCGACGGAUGGAGGGACUCUGAGGUGGCCAGCUAGCAAGAUGGCCUGGACAUGUUUUUUUUUUAUAGUUUCUAGUUUAUUAAGUUAUUUUAGACAGGAUUGUAAUAAAGCCUUUCCUCUGGUUAUUAUUCUAAAUUAGGACUAUUAUUUUUAUGCUUUAUAUUUAUUUUUGAACAUGGGUUCCUAAACCUUAACUGUUUUUAUUGAAUACUAUGUUUUCGCAACUCAAUUUUUAAAUGAAAAGUUUUCAUAAAUCAUCUGUUCUAAAUAAAGCUUCUGCAACUGAGAAAAGAUUUUACAAGUAAUUAAGGUUUUCAAAUUUAAAGAAGGGUUUUCAAUGAAACAAGUUUUUCGCUAAAACACUUCAAUGUGACACGCUGGAUCCGGCCAUAACGUCCGGACCGGGUUGAACUGUUACAUGCUUUGCCUUUACUCAUUGACAAGUCAAACACUUAUAUAAUCAACUAUAUCUCUUUUCAUCUCUGACCACCAGUACAACUCCCGCAAAUUCUGGUACAUUUUUGUUCCUCCGGGGUGUAAAGCAAACACGCUAUCAUGUGCUUCUUGGAGAAUCUACUCUUUUAACUCAGAAACAGCUGGAACAAAAAUCUAAUUUCGGAACCUUAAGCAAUCAUGUUCAUCAAUGCUGAAAUUUUCUACCAUACUAUUCUGUACCAUUUCUCUUUUCUUCAUCAACUUGUCAUCCUCUAGCUGUGCUGCUCUAAUCUAAUCAAACAUCAUUGGUUUAACUCUCAACUCAGCCAAAAAACUUCCAUCAUCACUGAUACUGUGUUGUGCAAACAUUGCUCGCAAUUCAACUGCAGCUUUCCUACUCAAUGCAUCAGUUACUACAUUUGCCUUUCUCGGAUGAUAAUUUAUAACAGAAUCAUAGUCUUUUAGAAGCUCAAUCCACCGACGUUGUCUCAAGUUCAAAUCAUUUUGAGUUAAAAGAUAUUUGAGACUUUUGGGAUCAGUAUAAAUAUAACAUUUCUCACCAUACAGAUAGUGUCUCCAGAUCUUCAAUGCAAAAAUUAUAGCAGCUAACUCCAGAUCAUAUGUCGGGUAAUUACGCUCGUGUGGUUUUAGUUGACAAGAUGCAUAAGCUAUUACCUUUCCAUCUUGCCUUAACACACAACCCAAACCAUUUAAAAAAGCAUCACUGUACAUAAUAAAAAUUUUUCCCUAUUCUGGCAAUGUCAAAACUGGUGCCUCAGUUAACAUUCGUUUCAACAUCUCAAAACUUCUCUAACACUGAUCAUCCCAAAUAAAAGGAACAUUCUUUUGUAGCAGCUUUGUCAUCGGUAAUGCUAUCUUCGAAAAUCCAUUUACAAAUCUUUUAUAGUAUCUAGCUAAUCCUAAGAAACUACAUACCUCAGACACAUUCCUCGGUGCUUUUCACUGAACAAUUGCUUCAACGUUUUUCGGAUCAACUCUGAUUCCAUCUGCAGACACAACAUGUCCCAAAAAUAUCAUCUCUGAUAACAAAAAUUCACACUUGCUAAGCUUCCCAUAUAACUAUUUCUCCCGUAAUAUCUAUAAAACAAUUCUGAGAUGCUGAUCUUGUUCUGAUUCUGACUUUGAAUAAACCAAUAUAUCAUCAAUGAAGACCACCACAAACUGAUUUAAAUACGGUUGAAAAAUACAUUUCAUAAGAUCCAUAAAAGCGACUGGGGCAUUAGUCAAUCCGAAAGGCAUUACCAAAAAUUCAUAGUGGCCAUACCGUGUUCGAAAUGCUGUCUUCGGUACAUUGCUUUCUUUCACUUUCAAAUGAUAGUAGCUUGAUCUCAAAUCAGUCUUCGAAAACAUAGAAGCUCAUUUCGACUGAUCGAAUAAAUCAUCAAUGCGAGGUAACAUAUAUUUAUUCUUGAUCAUCACCUUAUUUAACUACCGGUAAUCAAUACAAAGUCACAUCGAACUGUCUUUCUUUUUAACAAAUAAGACCGGUGCUCUCCACGAUGAAAUACUAGAUCGAAUGAAGCCACAGUCUAACAAAUCUUGUAACUGUACCUUCAACUCUUUUAAUUCUGUGGGUGACAUACGAUAUGGAGGUAUUGAAAUCGGAGCUGUACCAGGAUAAAUAUUCAAUCGAAAACUCAAACUCUUUUUCUUGUGGUAAUCCUAGUAGUUCUUCAGGAAAAACAUCAAGGAACUCACAAACAGUUCAAAUUUUGUUGCGUUGGCUUACAACAGAAUCAGAAUUGAUAACAUAAGCCAAAUAAGCUACACAACCCUGAUGAAGUAGUUUAUUAGCCUGAAUCACUGAAAUGAUAAGUGUUGACCCAUUAGUAUGAAUACCAUUUACCUCAAUCUUGCCUCCAUCUUCAGUUUGAAUACUAAACUUCUUUUUAUAACAAUCUAAAACCACUCUAUGCUCAAACAACCAAUCCAUUCCCAGAAUUAUAUCAAAAUCACUGAAUGGCAUUAUCAACAAGUUAACAGAGAAAACUCUAUUUUGUAUCAUUAACGGGCAUCUUCGACAUACUUGGUUUAUAGACACUGUAUGUCUCAACGGAUUAGCACCACUAUAGAUACUCUAGACAUUUCAGAUUCUAACUUUCUCGACUCAAGUAGUUUUGAAUUAAUGUAUGAGUGUGAAGACCUGGGGUUAAUUAAAGCAUAAACAAGUUCUGAAUACAGUAAAAAUAUACCUGUUACCACGUCAUGAGCAUCGCCUUCUUCUUGAGUCCGGACUACAUAUGCUCUAGCCGGUACUCUGGCUUCUGGCUUCUGACUGCUGAGUAACUAUAUUGCUCCCUCUCUUUGCACUCCUCAUUUACAAACUGGACCGCCUGUACCUGAUCCUCUGCCUCUAGCAGUAGAUACUGACCUUUGUGAUGUCACAAGUGCAGCACUUUCACCUUUCGGGCAAUCUCUAAUAAAAUGAUCUAUAGACCUACAUAAAAAAUAGCAUCUAGUUAAUUUUCAGCAUUCACCUCUAUGUUUCUUCCCGCAGAGCUCACAAUCUGGAAUCUCAAUGUCCCGAGAUGAACCUCUCACGCAACCAGUGGAGACUGUUGUCUGUUUCCCUCGACUUCUAUCACCUCUGUCUGAUCUAAAAUUGGGUCUCCAACCACAGCGAGAUUUUCUUGAUCUUUUCGGUUGAGGAUUCAAACUAGUAGUUCCAGUACGUUUCCCAGUCGAUCGAGUAAUUUUGGGCUUUUUAUCGAGACUUUAAACUUGCUCCACCAUUUUUGCUCUUUCAACCAUAUCUACAAAUUUAGUAAUCCGAUGAGAUACCAACUGUACCUUUAAUUCAUCUCGCAAACCCCGUAGAAACCGUUUACAACUGUCAGCUUCUGUUGAUACAAAUUUUGAAGCAUAUUUGCUAAGUCUAGAAAAUUUCCGUUCAUAAUUCACCAUUGACAUCUCGCCUUGUUUUAGCAUUGAAAACUCUUACUUUUUAUCUUCUAUACAGUUCUCCAACAUAUUUCUUCUGAAAUUCUUUCUAAAAUAAAUCCCAAGUUACCUGCUCUGUCGGUAAAUGCCGGAUCACUGAUUCCCACCACAAAUAGGCUUCCCCUUGUAAUAAUGAGACAGCACACAACAAACUCUCCUGGGGGUACAUUCUAAUUGCUGUAAAACUCUCUUUGUUGACUCCAUCCAAUUUUUUACCGUGGAUGGAUCAACUCCUUUCAGGCCCAAAAAUUCAGUGGCACCGUAUUUACACAAUUCUUUGAUUGGGGCCCGUCUAGUAGAAGGAGUAGAUGUAGUAGUAGGUGCAGUCCCUGCUACUCGUUGCAAGGCAUCGGCUAUAACUCUCAGUAAAUAGGAUUCAUCUCUGUCUCUAACAUUUUCCCAUUCUAUAUUAAGAGGUUGAUUACCUAAUGGAUUUAUAGUCGAUGUAGCUGAUUCUGUUUCAUCUAAUUCUCUAUCUCCGGUGUCAAUUUCUUUUUCUACAUCGUCUAUAUGUUCAUCUGACAUUUUAACUAUAAAACAAAACAAAUAAUUAUAUCAGCAUCCAAAUCUCGACUUAGUUUCGACUCAAUAGUGUCAUGUACCUCUAAACUCAUUUAUGAGCUUGAUUUAGUCUGAGAAUCGACUGAACCUGAAUAGCUCUGAUACCAAUAAUUGUAACACCCCCUAACCUUAAACCGUUACCGAAACAGGUUACAGAGCAUUACCGAACCUUUCAGACAUAUUACGACCGAACCUUUCAGACAUAUUAUGAACCUUACACAAAUGAAUAACAUACAUUUUGUAAAACAUUCUUAAUGUCCCUUUUAUGGAUUCUUGAGGCCCAAAAUACGUGUUAGAAGUGAAUCGGGACUAAUUUGAGUGCUUGAGAUAAUUUUCAUGAAAUUCUAAUUUUUUUUAUUUUUUUUAUUUUUAACAAAUAAAGGGCUCACACCGUAUAGACCGGACCGUAUGGGCUCAAUAUAACCCUUUUAUAAUCAUCUAACCAACCCCGCAAACUUAAAACAUACCCAAUUCCAACCAAUAUCACAACCAUUACAAUUUUAUAUACAAUUACAUUUAAAACAUAUCGAGACACCAACCUGAUAAUCUAUUCACUAAACAUUUACAAGCAACAUUAAGAUUAGUUUAAAAAUUUCAUUCUAUUUCCAUUUCAAAGUUUAAUAUCAUAUGUGUCAUUUUAUCUUCUUAUUCUUUCAUAUGUCUAUUCAAAUAACAUAUGCCAUCUAUUACAACCAAAAUCCACCAUGACACAUAUACAUAACCUAGGUACAUGCCACAUUUACCAAAAAGAAAUAUAUACAUCACCAAGUUUCUGAGGUUAGGAUUGGCUCUGGAUGCUGGACCGGAUCGUCUACUAACCUGCGCACGAAAAACAAUCGUAUGCUAAGUAUAUUAUACUCAGUGGUAUUACUAUAAUUCAAAUUUGUAAAUCAUGCAAAUAAUUAUACUUAUUCAAUUUAUACUUUUAUCCUUUUAAUAACUGAUACAUAUUAAAUCAAUUUAUUUUAUAAUAAUAGUAACUUUUCAAACUUGUAUCCAAUUGAAUUCAUACAAUAUUUCACUAUCUCAAAAUUCAUUCCAUUCCCACAUCUCAUAUCAAUAUUUCUUUCAUUUCAUAUAUAAAAUCAUUCAAUAGAAUUUAUAUUAUCAAAAUUUAUUCAUUUUUCCUUAUUAAUGUGAUUUGGCCUUUGACGGAUACAUGGAUCCAACCAAACACACCAAUAUGGCACCUAGUGCCUCAUCGAAUAGUAGGAAGUAAUAAGUUGACACCCAGUGCCUCAUCGAAUCUAUCCGAAGUAAUAUAAUGACACCCAAUGUCUCAUCAAAUCGAAGUCCAAGUAACCCUAAACACUUCCAAUCCUAUGGCGUGCCAACUACAUUCGACUUGGCCCGAUUAGUUAAUAGGUUUUCCAAUUCACUUUCUCAAUUCAAUUUCAAUCAAAUUCAUACCAAUCACAAAUUCUCAUAUUUUCAAUUCAAUAUCACAAUAAUUUAUUUAAUUCAAUUCAAAUCACUUUCAAAUUCCAAUCAAUAUACAUUCAAAUAUUCACAUAAUUCAUAAUCCAAUAUCAUUUCUUACCUCAAUUCCACUUGCCACACACAUUAAUUAAAAUUAAAAAAUAAAUAAUAACUAAAUUCGAAUUAUAGUAAUACAAAUCUGAAUUUCUCCAGAGUUAUUCUCCGACAAUCUUUUACUUUCCCUUCUGAGCCAUUGUCUCUGGUUCAAUGUUAGCUACGAAAAUUAAAAUUAAAAUAAUUUACAAUUAUUAAUACAACAAUUAUUCACAUCAAAUACUUGAAUUUCCUAUUUAAUUUCUACCUUAAUUCCAAUUUAAUCCUUAACUAAAAUCAUCUAUUUUUCCAUCCCAAUUCAUACCUUAUUUAUAUUCAAUUUUCAACCAAACUUAAACUUAACUCUCUAAUUUUCAUCAUAAAUGCCUAAUUUUGAAUUUCUUGCAAUUUAGUCCCUAUUACACAAAAUUUAUAGCUUAUUCUACAAUUUAAUCCUUUUCCCACUUCUAACUUGAAAUUCUAUUAAUUCAAUCCCUAAAUCACACUUUUACUCAACAAAAUUAGUAUCUAAAAAUCUAACAACUUCAAAAAUUUCAACAUAUAUCUAGUAGUAUUUUGUUCUAGGAUCAUAGAAACUCAAAAAUUACAAGAAAAUGACUUAAAUUGACUUACCAAUUUGAAUUUGAAACUUUGAAAAUCCUAAAUUCUUUUCUUUUCUUUCCUUUUCUUUCUUCUUUCUCACUAUUUCGUCCCUCAACUAUUAUGUUUCUUUUGUUAUAUAUAUAAUAUAAUAAUAUAAUAAUAUAAUAAUAUAAUAUAAUGUAAUAUUAAUAUAAUAAAAAUAAUAUAUUAUAAUAAAAAUCUUAAGUAAAAAUCUUUGAUAUUUUAAUGUUAAAUUGGCUCAACUAACUAAAAUGGCUUAAUUUCCUAUUUAGUCCUUUUUACUUUCUUUAAUCUAUAAUUAAACUUUUACCUCUAUUACAAUUUAAUCCUUUUUCUUAAGUACUCCUAAUUAAAUCAAAUUCACCUAACUAGAACCUAAUUAAACACACAACUAGCUUCGUAAAUAUUUUUAAUAAAUAUUUACAAUUCGUUUUAUUAAGACGGAGGCCCGACAACACAUUUUUCGAUGCCGGUGAAUUUUAGGUCAUUACAGCAUGUAGUUUAUGCUGAGGGGAUCCGUGUUGAUCUGAGGAAGAUAGAGGUUGUACUAGAUUGGAAACAGCCUAAGAACGUAUCUAAGAUCGGUUCCUUUCUGGGUUUGGCGAGAUAUUAUCAGUGGUUUUUCGAGGGGUUCUCUCUAAUUGCAGCCUCUUUGACUAAGUUUCUGUGUAAGGGUGUUUCGUUUGUUUGGAUUGAUGCAUAAUAAUUAAGCUUUGAGAAGCUCAAGUUUGUUUUGGCUGAAGGUCCUAUUCUGAUACAGCCUGGACUUGGUAAAGUGUUUGUAGUCUAUAGGGAUGCAUCGCAUGUCAGUUUGGGAUGUGUACUGAUGCAAGAUGGAAAUGUUCUGGCUUAUGCGUCCCGUCAGCUUAAGAAACACGAAGGAAACUAUCCGAUGCAUGAUCUCGAGUUGGCUGUGGUGGUUUUUGCGUUGAAAAUCUAGAGACACUAUUUGUAUGGUGAGAGGUGUAUUAUCUGCACUGAUCAUAAGAGUCUCAAGUAUCUCCUUACACAGAAGGAGCUGAAUCUUAGAUAGUAUCGAUGGAUUGAGCUGCUCAAAGAUUAUGACUGCUCGAUUAAAUAUCAUCCCGGUAAGGCUAAUAUGGUGGCCGAUGCUCUCAGUCAUAGGGAUGACUGAUUUGAGAGUGAUGUUUGCUCGUCUUAUUCUAUUCGAUGAUGGGAGUCUUUAGCCGAGUUGCAAGUUAAGCAGACUUGGAUUAGUUAGAUUCGAGAUAAACAAUUUGAGGAUAAGUCUCUGGGUUUGCGAUUUCGUCAGAUUAAGAGUGGUGGUACUUCAAAUCUUGGGCUGAAUGAUGAUGGUGUUCUGUGUGCCGAAUGAUACCGAUUUGAGGCAGUCAAUUCUGAAGGAGGCACAUAGUAGUCAUUAUGCUAUCAUCCUGGUGGUAAUAAGAUGUACCGGGACCUCCAUAAGUUGUACUGGUGGCCAGGGUUGAAAUGUGAGGUUACAAAUUUUGUUGUUCGUUGUCUGACAUGCUAGUAGUUUGAGGCUGAGCACUAGUUACCUUUGGGCUUGUUGCAGCCGGUUAAGAUUCCCUUAUGGAAUUGGGAAUGAAUGAUGAUGGACUUUGUUGGUGGGUUGCCCUUAACACCCAACAAGAAAAAUUCUGUUUGGGUCAUCGUGGAUCGAUUGGCCAAGUCUGCUCACUUUAUUUCAGUUCGGACUGACUAUUCUCUCCAGAAGCUAGAGAAAAUUUAUAUCUUUGAGAUAAUUAGACUGCAUGGGGUUUCUUUUUCAAUUAUUUCUAAUAAAGAUCUGUGCUUCAUAUCUCAAUUUUGGAAGAAGUUGCAUGAGGCUUUGGGUUCAAGGUUGGACUUCAGUACGACGUUCUAUCCUCAAACUGAUGAUCGAUCCGAGAGGCUGAUUCAGAUACUGGAAGAAAUGCUUUGGAGUUGUGUGAUUGAUUUUAGAGGUAGUUGGGAGGAUUAUCUGCCGCUAGCUGAGUUCGCCUAUAAUAAUAGUUUCCAGUUUAGCAUCCAGAUGGUACCUUACGAGGCUUUAUAUGGUUAUAAGUGUCAGGUUUUGGGUCUUGAGUUGGUUUUUGAGACUAAAGACAAGGUUAGACUGAUUCAGGAUCGUCCGAAGGUAGCUUCUGACAGACAGAAAUUUUAUGCAGAUUUGAAGAGGCAUGAUAUUGAGUACUAUGUGGGGGACUUUGUGUUUCUUAAGGUUUCUCCAUGGAAGAAAGUUCUGAAAUUUAGUCGUAAGGUCAGGUUGAGCCUUAGGUUUAUUGGGUCGUAUCGGAUUUUGAAACAUAUGGGACUAGUUACUUAUCAGUUGGAGUUACCUCAGGAGUUAGACCGUAUUUAUGAUGUCUUUCAUGUGUCGAUGUUGAGGCGGUUCUGUUGAGGAGAUCGAGGUUAGACUGGACUUGAGUUUUGAGGAGGAGCCGAUUUAGAUUCUGGAUCGAGAUGUUAAGAUUCUGAGGAGUAAACCCAUACCUUUUGGUGAAGGUUCCGUGGCGGAAUCAUGAUUCCAAAGAGGACACGUGGGAAAAUGAGGACUUAAUGCGUCAGUACUACCCUCAUCCGCUCUGAUCAGGUAAAUUUCGUGGUUGAAAUUUCUUUUAGAGCGUAGAGUUGUAAUGCCCUGACUAAUGUAUUCUUGUUUCUGUAAAUACCUGACAAAAUUGUGUGUCUGCUUCAGUGGUUUCGUGUUCUGGGUGUGUGUGAGAGCUCUUGGGUUCAAGUCUCACAUUUGCUAAAUUUUGGUAUUUUUUUGGAAUUAGGCCUUACCUUUGUUCAGUGGACUUAUAUUAAAUUGACUAUAGACUCAUACCAGAAUGAGCCUGCUGGUUCGAGUGGUAAGGAGGUUGAUGUGUAGAGGGUCUUGUGUUCAAAUCUCUAUGCAAGCAUGAAUGAUAUAAUUUUUACUCGACUGUCUAAUGGUGUUUCAGUGGAGUUAAAAGUCUGAGGAGGUUGUGAUUUAGUGGGUUAGUGGGAGAAAAUUAAAGGAUAUGUUAUCAUAUCUUUUAUUCUUUUUCCUUUUUAUUAAUUUUCUUUUUUCAAAAUUUUGGUUUCUUUCCCCAAAAUUCUGACGUGAUUUCUGCUUCUUUCUCUAUUUUUUCCUUCUGUGUUCUUCCUCUUCAAUCUAGGCCAUCAUCUGUUCUUUCAAAAUUUGUAUUGCGAUUCACAGUGUUCGUUAAUUGACUUGGUAAGUGAAGUUGGGUUUUUGCUAACUUUUGGUUUUAGAAUUUUGGGGCAAUCUUAUUAUUGGCUUGUUAAUGGUUGUAGUUGUUAGAUUCCGUGGCGUAGGAGAAGGUAGUGAGGCAAGGGUUGUCAUUUCAACGGUUUAGUUUAUCCCGGGUGGGUGUUUUCUACGGUGGUUAGUUUUUGGGCAUCAAUCGAUUUAGUUUUGUUAACUCUAUUUUAGUCGCUAAAGGUGUUGGGUAUUCUGAUUUUAGGUGCUGGUGGUCUCGGGGAGUGUUUUUGCAUAAAAAACGUACAAUGUGUGUACCCAAAAUGCAGAAAAACAAGCUUCGAAAAAAGUCAAAAACCCCCAUUGUCGACACCACACGAGGUUGUGUUCACCUCGCACACGGUUGUAUGGUAACUUGAGUGUGGCCUUGUGGGCUACACGGGCUAGGCGAAGUUGGACGUGUGGGCUACAUGCAUAAUUCUGAAAUUUUCCCUAUCGCUCCAACUGACUGUGGGCCUGCUGUAGGGCAUGUAAGGGCUAUCUAAACCCUAAUUUGUAUGCCAAGACAUCCUGGUAGACUUCUCUGAGUAGAGUAUUAAAUGUAUGCUUGUCUAUACUAUUAUCCGUAUAUAAGCAUGCUGAUAAUGUUUAAUCUGUUAUACUGUAUCUGAUAAUUCUGUAUCUUUGACUGGGGGUGGGAUGUGUAUGUAUGGAGGAAGUGAUCUGUUCGACGUAUAUCGCCUAUAUUCUGGCAGCUUGGAUGCAUGUUAUCUGAUAUGCGUAUUAAUGGCACGAUGUGGUGUGUAAGGAUGGGUGGGUGUUUUUAAACCCACAUGGUGUGAUGGGAUGGACGGAGUUGGUGUAUAGAGUAGGAUUUUGGCAUAUUUGUUAUUUGAAUCUGAAUCUAAAUCUGAUAUCUAAAUCUGAAUAUGAAACUAAGUCUGUAUCUGUUUCUGAUUCUAUUUAUAAUACUGUUCAACUGCAUGCUUAAUUCUGUUGGGUUACACACCUAGUUUACAUAAACUCACUUUUGUUUGUCUGUUUUGUCGGGUAAUCCACAGACUUAGACGGAUCAGUGCGACAGAGACUCAGCGGUACCACUUGACCGUAAAUUAUUAAAACUUAAUUAUUUAUGAUUUUGGAUUAAUUUUGAGAGUUUUUAAUUCUGGGACUCUCUGGACUUUAUGGUUUUAUAACUGUUGGUUUUGGAUUUACAUGUUGUUAAUACAUGCUUAAGCAAAACGCUUUUCUCUAAAAAUGACAAUUUGUACGCAAACAAAUGUUUUUCUAAAACACGACUGCAUUUUCAAAAUACACCCGUUUCAAGGCUUCUUCUGUAAUAAGUUUUGGCAAAGGGACUAAUUAGAUCGUGUUUUUAAGUAAAAACAUGAUUGUUUUGACGAGAUAACUCAGUUUUUAAAACCCCGACCUUGUGGCACUUCCAGAUUCAGCCAUAACGUCUAGGUCGGAUUUGGGGUGUUAUAGAUGGUAUAUAACACUUGGCUAUUCUCAUUAAGUUUGUAUACAUUUGAUAGCUAACUUGUAAUGAGUUGUCCUUGCUAAACUUCUUGUUCAAAUUACUCUCUCGCUAAUUCAUUACAAGUUAUCAUUUCUGUGCCCUUAAUGUUGGGAAAACUAUAGAAUUAAAAUGGUAAUCACAAAUCAUGUCAUAAUUGAAUCUCCAAUACAUUCAAAACAUCAAAUAAUACAAAGAGGCUUGUAGUUAAUAUAUAUUCCCAACUUUCUUUGAGGAUUCACUCAUCUUUGUGCAUUGUGGUGGAGCAAGUGGAACAUAUACGCACAUACAAAAAUUCAAAUAUGAGAAAUAUUAAGCUCUUGAUCAAAAACCAAUUGUAAUGAGAAAUAUUUAAAACUUAUUGGCUUGGUGCGUACAACACGUAAAUCAACAUAAUCUCAUGUUGAAAAUGAAUUUUAGUUCUCAUAAGUAAUGGUCUAGACAUUAAUUAGAGGCGUUCGAUCAAUAAUUUCUCUAAACCAUUAUGUGCAUAAAUAACAAACUUUUACAAAAAAAUUUCAAACUCAAACAAUAAAAGACUGAGAUAUAAAUUCCUCAGUAUUAGUAAGAUGAAUUAUCUUAAUUGCAUGAUCUAAAAUUAAUUAUUUAAAUAAACAAUCUUGCAAAUGACAGGUUGCAAGUUGAUAACACAUACGUGAUUUAUUUUGUAGAUGCAUCUACCAAAAUCAUAUAAUAUCAAAAUCAUCCAUGUGGUGGAUAAAUGGGCCCAUAUUCAUUUCAGAAAUACAAGAUAUUAAAUCUCAACUUUAGCUGGUGAGUUUCUAAUAAUCAAUUUUCAUUAAGAACAAGCAACAAAUGAGAAUUCUUUAAAUUAAAGAAUCUUUUGGUUCUUUAAUGAAUGUCCAUAUGAAUUCUCAAUUAAUUUUCACAUCAUAUAUGAUCCAGGAUAGUCUAAUUGGUCAGACUAAGUAGUAAAUGCAUUUAUAUUAACAAACUUCUAGUUUACUUUAACACGCAUUUCAAUUGUACUAAAUUUUAACAAGUUUAUAAUUUUACUAUCAUCAUUUUUACUUUGUAUCCGCAUAUAAAUACUAUUGUGACAUUUACUAUUGGAAAUAUCUAAAUCAAUGUGAAGUCUAUGAUUCUACUGAGUCAAUAAAUAUAAUUUUCAAAUAAUUAUAUGCAAUAUUCGCUUUAGGGAAUAUGUCAAAAUCUUCAAAUGUAAGGCAUUUGGUCUAGUGGUAUGAUUCUCGCUUCAGAUUCGAGAAGUCCCAAGUUCAAUUUAAAAUACUUUUAAAACCCUUUUAACAAGAGUUUUGCAUAAUCAAUUAACUACCAAGAAUAACUGCCUAGGUCAUGUAUAGAAACAAGACUAUAUUAAAUAUAUCAAUAAACGCCACAUCUCAAACAUAAAAAAUAUAAUAUAAUGAAAAACUAACAAUUUUUUUUUCAUAAUCAUCAUCAUAAACAUGUAUGAAAUUUAAUUCAAAAUCCAACCAUUCAAGAUCAUAGAACUUUUAAUUUACAAUUUCUUAUGUCAUUUCUCUAAAUAAUUAACAAAUGUAAUAAUAUAAAAUGUAUGAACUACUACCUUUAACAAUUCUUUGAACUAAAUCAAAUCCGAAUAACCAUAAAAUUCAUUGGUUUGUUAACAUAAAUUUGCAUACUAAAUAUGUUUUAAUCAAAUAUAUUAUUUAAUUAUAAAACCUAUUAUAACGACAUAAUUUUGGUAGUAGACUUUGAAUCCAAUCAAAAUCUAUUAAUAGCAAACUUUAAGAGUGAAUUUUAUUUUCCAAGUGUACAAUAGGUACAUAACCAAUGACUCUUCAUAAAUAAAUUGUCUCUCUUGUUAAAAAUUCUUGGAAAUUCUUGUUAUUUUCUUGCUUUCUUCAUUUUUCCACUUCUGGUGGUGAAAAAAUUUAUUACAACCAUUCCCAUUGACUAUUAUUGUAGUCCAAUUUACUACAUAAACAUCAAAGAUUAUGUAUUUCAAAUUUAUUACAUAUUGUUACAUUCUCUUCAAGGAAUGGUUAAGUUUUGUGGUUAAAAACUUUUUUUCAAUCAUAAGUAAUUUUUUUCCAUGAUAUUGCUAUUGUAAGAGUACAUUUGAAUUAUGAAAAGUUGAAUAAGUUCUCUCUUGCAAGGUUUUCAUCAGUAAUAUUUUUCCACGUAAUUUUAAUUGAGAACUUAUUCUAAAUACUGUAGAGUUAUACUCACAGUUAAAAAAAAACUUGCAACUUCAGGUGCAUCCAACUAUAACAAGCUUUAGAUAGAUUUACCAUAUUCUAUUGCUCAUAAGUAGAUCUUUCACAGUCAAAUAUUUCGCAUUCAACCUCUUAACAGGGAUGAUGACAAAAGAAGAUCACAAAGAUAGUCACGAUCAAUUCAAUUUAUAGCAAGAGUAAUAAAUACAAAUCAGUAACCCAAUCCUUUUUGGAUUCAUAUGAAAUAUAAUCUUUUCUUCAUUGACAAUCCCAAUGUGAUAUCAAUUAUAAUGAAUAUCUUUUUAAUUCAUUAACCAUCCCAAAUUUUAUGCCUUUUAGAUAUAGAUAUAUUAGCUAUUAUGGAGCUUUCAACUAAUUUUGUACUAUCAAAUAUUGAAAUAAUAUUUGUUUGUUUUAGUGCCAAAUAAGAUAAACAUUUUCUAUUUGUAAUGACAGAAUUCAUUACUAUAUUCUCAUAUUCUUCCUCAAAGAAUAUUAACAGAAACAAAAUAUUUGGGCAUACGCCACAUAUGUGGUCAAUAAUCUUUCAUAUCACAUUGAUAACAUAGGUUAUCUUUACCCUGUGAAAAGUCAUCUUGAGAACUCUCAUUGUUAUUUUAUUUAUUACUAUAUUUCUGCUUUUAAUGGACCAUGAUUGUAUCUUUUAUUUUCUUUAUGUUUUCAUUCACUUCGAGGAAUGCAACAAAUUUGGUAGGACAAGCUUCUAAACACCUCCAAUGAUUUUUUAUUUCAUAGUCACCAUCGUAAAACAUGCGUGGAUUUAAAAUUAAAAUCUAUCUAUUCAUGUUGUCAUGAUUAGUCUCCAAUUAUAAUAAACAUGAUAUAAUAAAUAAAUCCUAGUAAAAUAUACCUAAGAUUCUUUAACAUCAUUGUUAUCACCCUGGCUAUUAUCACGAGCACCAUAAUGUGCAGGCCUCAAUUGAAGACUGAAAUAACAGUAGAUCUAGAAGGCAAUUGACAAUAGCUUGAGUAGCAAAUUUGAGUGACUGACUAUUGUAUUAAUUGUUGCUUGAAAGGGCUAAGGCUUGGUGAAGUGGAAAAAAAAAUUGUGACUUAUGGAGAAAAAAAAUUAAAAGAGAAUUGUGUUGAUAACGUGUUAUAAAAUAAAUAGAUAGAGAGUAAAGAACAUAGAAAAUGGAAGAGUAAAAGAGAGAGCGUAUGUUAUUGAUCAAUCAAAAUAUUUACAAAACUUUUUCAAAGUCUCUAUUUAUAGGCAUAUGAAAUAUAAAUGAAGUAGAGAUCUACUUCUAAUGACUAUAAGAAUUUAAAGUAUAUCAAAACUUAUCUUAAUCUUGAUGGACAUCCACUUAAUAAGAUAUUCAUAACACUUCAAUUUUAGUUGUCUAGCUAGGUUGAUAAUGCAACUAAAUAGAAUUAGUCGGUUUGAUUUGCUUGGUAGAGUGAAAAAAAAUUGGGAGGAUGGAAAUUGAAAGGAUAGAAAACUAUAAGGAUGGGAAAUAUAUAUUUUUAUUUUCAUAAGUGUGCUUAGUAGGAGAGAUAGAAAGAUAAAAAGAAAAUUUAGUAGAGUUGAAAAUUGGAAGAAAAGAAUAUAAAACAUUUGAAAAUGUAUAAUUUUGAAUUAACAUAUAUAUCACUCUCAUUUUCUUUUCUCUCAUCAUUCUAAUUUGGAAUGAUUUUGUUUUAUGCAUUAGGAUGGAAAAUUUCCUUCUCUUCCCAAUCAAACACACUCAAAAUUUAUUUUCAUUUUACUCUUUCGCUCUUUCUUCCUAUUCUCCUACUUUUUCACCUGAUCAAACACAUUCUUAAUCUCAUUAUUUUAUGAGGAAUAUCUCAUGUCAAAAUAAAAACCUCCAAGUUAAGUCGUUUAGGCGAGAUUACAUUGAUAAUGAUGAUGUUACUAGACUAGAUUAGAGAAGUCUAACAAAAUUUUUUCAAAUAAAAUUAUUUUUGAUUUUUUAUAAAAAAUUUGAAAAAUCAUAAAAAAUUGUACCAUAAAUAAUUUUUUUUCCAUAUCUUUAAACAACAAAUGCAAGUGAAUACAAUGAAUUGGACACCCCCAAACCGAUUAAACAUUAUCAUACAAUUAUAAAAUUAUAUAUAUGCAUUAGUAGGGGCACAAUCUUGAAAAAAUCAAUUGAAAAAUAAAUUUGAUUAAUUUGUAAUAUAAUUACCAAAAUUUAUUGAGGAGAAGAUUAAGGUAUGAAUAUGAAUUUCGCAGGUGAUGUGGGCGAAAAGAUUACAUAGAGAAUAAGCACAUAGGUAGCUAGCAGUAAUGGCAACUUUUUCUUCUUGUUGUUUAUUUGUGAUGAUUGAUGAAAUAAAUUUGUAGAGCAAGUGGGGUUGAGGUAAUUGAGCGUGGUUGGGAGGGGAAUAAAUACAAUACACGCCAAUGAAAAAAAAUUAAAAGAAAUAAUAAAGACAUUUGAGAAGGAUAGGGAGAGACAGAGGGGUCAUGGUCAAUGUAGGGUGAACUACGGACAUGAGUUAGGACCAGAGACCCCAAGGUGCAAAAGGACCAUUUAUGGUUAAGACUUAAGAGAGAGUGUGCCAAAUUCAUUUUAAAUAUCAAACUUUACGACUAUAUCUCAUCUCUUAAUUUUUUUUCCUUUUUCAAAUAAUAAUGAACUUAUAAAAGUUAGAUUUCAAAUUCAAUGCCCUUGCUUCUUUGGGUUUUGGACACCUUUUUUGCAGAUUCAUUUCAUCAUUUACAUUUUCUCUCUUUGAGCCUUUUUUUGGGCUUUGAAGUCGAUUUUUGCACCAAUUUGUUGGGUCUUAAUACAAUCUCCCUUUUAAGUUCAAAAAACUUUGUUCACGUGGUUGGACAUUCGCGAUUUUCUUUUGCAUAAUCAGCCAAACUCAAUUUUGAGUUGGCGAGGAACCCAAAUUAAAUAGAGCAAAUUAUUCCUCUUUUGAGAAAUUGAUAAGAGUUUCUAAUUUUUUAGCUAAUUAAUAAAUUAUGACAUGUUUUAAAUUUUUUUUUGGAUAAUUGUAAUUUCCUUGUCAAGAAGUAGUUGAAGUGCUACAAUCCAAUGAAGCUUACAAAAUAAACCUAUAAAUGUACACAUACAAUUAUUACUCUACAUUUUAAUCCUUAAUCCCCAACUUGAACAAAGAUGAAUAUACUAGUAUCUAUACAAUUAAUUUACCUCCCCAUCAAUCUAAUCUAUACAAUUUCUUUAAUCUUUCAUUGUUUUCCUUUUUUCUUUAUUUUUUAUCGGCACCUGUUUUGUAACGCCCCAAUUUUCGGGAAUCCUAUGAAUGUUGGCAUAGGUUUAAUUAUGUUAGUGGGCCUCUAGAAAGCCCAAACUUAAGAUAGAACCCGACAAUUUUAGUUAAUUUUUGUUCCAUAAGAAAAAGGGGGUGAAAUUAUGAAAUAGGACCUAUGUGAAAAUGUUUGAAAAUGCUAUAGAUUAAAUUGAAGUGGCCAAAUAAAUAGGAGUGCAAAAUAGGAGGAUUUGCAUGACAAACCUCCCAUUUUACAUGAAGUGGUCAGCCAUCAUGUUGUUGUAGACAAAAUGUACAUUUGAUAUCCAUAAUUUAUGUUACAAAUUGAUACAAAUUGAUAAAAGGUUAGGUAAAUGUUCCAUGAUAAUGGGUUAGGUAAAUGUUUCAUGAUAAGAAUUUCAUGUCUUUUGUAUUAAAGAAUUAAAUGGAUGAAAUAUGAAGUUUUAUUAAAAGAAAAAGGGGUGAAAAGAACAAAGUUUUGUCCAUCUUUGUUCAUAAUAGCUGAAAGUUAGAGAAGAGAAAGGAGAGGAGAAAGCUCUUGAGUAUUCGGUCAUUAGGAGGAGGAAAAUUGAAGGUAAGUUCUUGGUACCUUGCUUCUAUUUUGAGGUUCAUUAGUUCUUCUUGAUUCUACCUUAACUCUUGAAGUAUAUUUUGAUUUUUAGUUGUGUUGUGAGCAUUUGGUCAUGAAUUAAAAUGAAGGAAAUGGUUGUUGUUUCAUGUUCUUUUGAUGAAAAAUGGAAGAUAUGUGAAGUUGAGCCAAACAAAUGAGCAUGCAUGUGCCUUAGAUGCUAAAGGGAAAAAUCGGCUAACAUGUUGUGCUUUAAAAUGAUGAAAUGGAGAUUAUGCUUAAGUAAAAAUCAUAGAUAUGUGAUGAUUGAUUGGUGAUAUACAUGUUUAAAUAACAUGCAUGCAAGAUAGGUGUAUGAAAGAGUGAUUUGGUAAUAAAUCUGCUUGGGACAGCAGCAGUAACGUGACUUUGGAAAAUCACCAUAAAUUGUGGGAGAUGAAUUAGAAGCUGAAUAAAUUAUGUAAUUAAAGCUUAUUGAGUCUAGUUUCUAAUGAAAUAAACAAGAACAUAUUUUGAAUUCUGUACAAUGAGAAAUUUGAUUCGUAAUGAAGAGUGGUCAGAUUAGUCAAACAGUGAAACAUGAGAAACUUUGAGAAAAAUCUGGUAUUGAUUGGCUAAACCAAAAAUUUUGAAAAAUUUAUGGAUAGAAUAUAUAUGAGUCUAUUUUCAGGGAAAAUUAACGGCACUUGAUUUGGAGUUUCGUAGCUCCAGUUAUAAAUGAUUUAGUGACUGUUGCUCAGGAAGACAGCUUGCAGUGAAAUUAUGAUUAUGUGGUAAACAUUGACAAAAAUUUGUUAAUGAGUUGCUUAUUGAUUUCUUAUAAGCUUACUAUGAUCUGUAGGUGUGGUUGGCCGAAUAUUGUAAGGGGUUAAUACGUAGUUUGUAUUUGAAUAGUUAGAUUAACGUGUUAGUAAUCCAAUUGUAGGCGGUUCGUGUGUGGAUCUCGUCAGCAUAUCGUCACAAACAGGUGUGUAACUAACACCCUCUUUCUUAGUCUAGAUCGGCAAAAGUCGAAAAGCCGAAAUGCCGAAAACCGGUAUUUUGUAGAUUUGCGAGUGUGCGAAUGCUCGUGAGGUAAAUCGAUUAAUGUUUUUGGUAAGUUACAAUGUUUGGACUGCAAAGUGCAUAAUUUCUGUGCCCUCGAUAUUUUUGGGCUUAAUGGGCCAAAAUUGGAAUGAUGGGCCAACGGGCCCAAUUCGGUAAGAACCCUCGGUACGUGAUUCUGUAGUACGUGAAAGGUAGGAAUAUGCAUGAAAAACCCUAAAAUAGAUAAAUUACUGAAAUACCUUUAAAAGUGAAAAAUUUACAAUUUUACCCCUAGGAGAUAAAUUACCGAAAUACCCCUAGGGUUAAAUUGACUUAAAUGCAUGUUUGACUGUUGUUAUUUACUGCAUGCCAUGUUGUUAUUAUCUGAUGCAUGGGACUGGGAUAUUGACGGAGGAAGUACUGAAAGUGGCUUGUCCACGUACUGGAGGCUUUGCCUCAAUUUACUGUUAACUGAGCAGCAAUGCUGCAACUGUGGAGUGUUGGGCUGGGUGGGUUGAGCUAUCCCCACAUGGAGUGUAUGGCUGGUACGGGUGGAGUGUAGUGGUUGGUGGGUUGAGUAGUCUCCCCAAAUGGGCUUGCAUAUGUUAUUGAUGUUGCAUGUAUUUUGAAAUAGGCCUAUGGGCCAUACUGUUAUCUGAAUAAGGGGCUAAGGCCCAGUUUAUUGUAAUCUGAAAAGGGCUCUGGCCCAGUACCACUGUUACCUGAAUGGGCUUAGGCCCAAUGGGCUUGAGCUGACUUGGGAUUUGAAUGGGUUUUCCUUACACACUGAGUUUCCCCAAACUCACCCUUUUAUUUUCAUCCAUGCAGGAAAUCCCCAACCAUAGUGGGCUUGGAGCUGUGAGGGAAUUCGGAGUGGCCACCAGUUCUGAAAGUUUGAUUUUCUUCUGGUGAACUGGACAUCCUUUUAUUUACGUUUGAAGUUUUGGGUUUUUAAAUGUAAUAAGGCCGCUUAAUUAUUUUUGAUGGUUUUAAUAUGUAUUACUAAGAUAGGUAUUACUUAUUUUAACUGUUGAAAUUGGAUAGCUUUAGGGCGCGUUUUCAAAAACAACAAUUGAUUUCAAAAUAACACGACAAUAAGCAAAGCUUCCGCAAUGAAAGUAUUUUCCAAAAUUAAUCACUUUUCCUAAAAAUGACUUAAUCAAAUCGGUUUUCUAGAAAUAUCCAUGACGUUAAGGUGUGGCAAUGGCGGUAUGCAUGUCUAGGAUUGGAUCCGAAGGGAGCUUGGUACUUAAGCAGUCCGAUGGACUCACCACCUCUUUUCCGGUUUCCUACCUGGUGCACAGCUUCCAUUCACUUUAAUCCUUAAUGAAUUAAUCUUUUGAACAUCAAGUACGAUUUUCUAGACUUAGAAUGGAAUUUUUUUAACAUUUUUGAUGUGGCAUGCCGGACCCGGCCAUAACUUCUGGGCCGGGUUUGGGGUGCUACAUGUUUGCUUUCAAUUUGCGGUUCCUUUUCUAUUUGAUGGUAGAGGAAGAAAGAAAAAUAUUUGACGUCAGAAAGAAAAGAGAAUUUUCGGGAAAUAGAAAAACUGAUCACGUAUCCCUAAUUUCUCUCCACUAACCCACUACUCAGAAUUUCUGUUUGACCGAGACUCUCUCGGUCAGACAAGCAAAAACAUACUCCCAUGCUCGCGCAGGGAUUCAAACACAAAACCUUCAGCAAUCUGACACUCAAUUUAACCACCAGACCAGCAAGCCUAUUCUAACAUAAGCUUACCAACAAUUAAACUUAAACCCUUUUAGUAAGGUUAAGGCUUUAUUCAAAAAAAAAUACCAAAAUUUUCCAAAUGAAAAACUUGAACUUGGGACCUCUCACACAUGCCAAAAACACUUAACCACUGAAGCAAAUACACAUUUAUGUCAAAAUUUACCAAAAGCCGAAAAAUAAAUGGCACACGAUUUGAGGUUUAGUGAAGGAAACUAAGAUUAUUCAAGAGAAAUUUUUUGAGAAAAUUUUGAAUGAGAAAAAAAAAGGGAUGGUUUUUAAUGCUAAUAAUAAGGGGGUUGUGAAGAAAACCUUAAAUAAAAGGAAAGGGCAAGGAAUCAUGAUUUAGAAUGGCUUAAAUUUAUGCCCAAUAGAAUGUGACCCAAUAAUAAUAGAAGAGGGUUGGGUGUUGUUAGCUAGGCCAAUAUCAUAAGUGUUAGAUCUUUCAUGGGUCCCAAAGGGAGGGAUCAAUCCAAUGAUAUUAGUCAGUUUGUAAAAGUGCAAGUGGAAACAAUCCUUGAUAGCAGAAAUAAUACGGUGGUAAAAUUUCAUGAGAAUGUGAAGUUGUGAGAGGCAGGUGAGGAAUUGAACUUACGAGGUCAGGAUAAUAUAGAUUAAAGUGCUCACAUGGAUGGUUCUUCCUCUUCAAGAACGCUUUGACUUAUCUUCACUAGGUGAUAAAAUAGGUGAAGUCGUAGAAUUAAAAGUGAUGGACUUGAGGGAUUGAGAAUUGUAAAAUAAAAUGGUGGUUGAGGUUAUGGCUAUGGAUCCCUUAGCAGCUAAUGUUUCAAGACAAGCCAUUGGGGAAUUUGAUGAGGGUGGUAGUGAGGAUGAAUCAAAAGAUGUGGAAGACGAUAUGCUUGAAGAUAUUUGAUUUCCCUCCUUAAAGAAUGGGUAUGAUUUUUGUAAUUUUUUUCUCAACUUUUUUGCCUUUUACGAUGAAGGCAAAGUUGUUAAUUUGGAAUUGGCAAGUUGGUGGCCAUCCUAAGUUCCCUAAAAUUAUUAUAGAUUAUGUUAGAGAUUUUUCACCAGGCAUUAUUGGACUUGUGGAGAUGAGACUCAGUGGCCAAGAACCAGAUGGUGUUAUGGUAAAAUUAGGCUUUCCUUUCUCUCGUAGAGUCGAGGCUAGAGGCUUUGUUGUGGGAAUUUGGGUUUUUUGGAGAGACUAAAUCAAUGUGCAAGUGGUUUUUUCUAAUCCACAAUUUGUCCACCUAUUAUACAAGAUGAUAAUUGGAUGGGCAAGUUUUUCAUCACUAGUGUUUAUGCCACUCGAAUAAGAACUAGGUGUAAUUGGUUGCGGGAAGACCUUAACCAUUUGGCGAUGGAUAUGGUGGACUUAUGGAUAACUGUGGGUGAUUUUAAUGCUAUUAUUUUUUUUUAAUUUGAGCAGAGGGGUGGAUCCAUGCAAGGAUAUUUAGGGUGCGAUCGAUUCAAAGAUUUCUUAUUCGAUAAUGGGAUUAAGGAUUUGAGAUAUAGGCUUUGUCAGACCAUUGUUAAUGUAACAACUCGAUUUCUAUUGGUACCAAAAGAUGCGGUUUUGGAACCCCAUUUUUAUAAAUCGAAUUUGUAAAUAUUAAAUAUGAAUUUUAAGUAAAUAAUAUAAAUAUAUGUUGAAUUUUGGUCGAUAAAAAUUUGUCAAUUAAUAGUUAAGUAAGACUUAGGGAGUAAAUUGUAAAAAUUUAAUCGCUAUAGAUUUUUAAUUGACAAGAUUUAGGGAUUCAAAUAGCAAUUAACCAAUGGUCCUAAAAUGGUAAUUAAAACAUUAUUGAGUAAAUACUAGUGGGAGAUGAUGGCCAUCUCCACUAAGUGGAAUUAAAACCAAAUUACACUAAUUGAUUAAGGUUUGUUAAGUAAUUAACCAUUAAUUAUCAUAUAAAUAGGUUGAUAAGUGGAAGGAAAGAUAAAGUUUCAUCUUUUUUUUCCUUCCAUGACCGAUUCUACGUAGGAAAGAAAAGAGAAAAAUCAUCCAAUGGUUUCAAGCAUUCGACCAUACAAAUUAGGUAUGAAAUUUAGUCAUUUCUUGUUACUUUUAUGAAUUUGAGGUCAUGGGAGGUUAAUUUAGCUAGCCCAUGUACCAAUUUGUAAAUUUUUUAAACUUUUUAGAAGUUUUCAUUAUUUAUUUCUUGUAGAGUUAAGCUUGAAAUUGAUAGAUUUUAAGUUUAUAUAGUAAAAAAGACUAGAUUGUAAGGUUAUUCAACUUGUUAGUUAACUUUGUUACAUUAGAGAUCAAAUUGAAUAAAUGUGAAAAUUGUCAUGAAAUUCUAUUAGAAAUAGAAAAUAUAAGGUCCCUAAUGAAAAUAUAUGAAAUUAGAUUUUAAUCCAAAGCUAGGAAUUGAAAAUUAUGACUAUAUCGAGUCCAAAGACUAAAUUGGAUAAGAUAUAAAAUUUUAGGGAUAUUGAAAAAUGAGUUCAUAUAGGUUCAUGCAUAUCAUAACAUUGUAUGAGAAUAUAGUAUAUUAAUUGGUGAUAUUAAAUAAUUGUACAAAUAAUAUUUAGAUCAAAGUGGAGCUAAUAGAGGAAAUCUAAAAUUACAAAUUAGUCCCUAGAAUAUCUACUUUUUUUCACAUUUUGAACAGGUAAGUUCAUAUGAAACUUAUUAUUUCAUUUUGUAUUAUAUGCGUGCUUAUGUUUAAGUUAGUGUAUAAAUGUAUCUAUAUAGUUGAAAUAUUAUGGAAUCUAGCAUACUUGGUUAGUAAAAGUUUGAAUAGAAAUAGUGUAAUAAUUGAUUAUUAUGUAAUAAUACAAGGUACAAAUAUGUAACACCUCAAACCCAACCUAGACGUUAUGAUCGAAUCUUGAAGGUUAAACCAUCUACUCAUUUUAAAAUUCAAGCUUAAUUCAUUUUAACAACGAUACAUGUGUGUUUUCAAAAUCAUUCAUUUACAACCAUUUUACUAAAUUUAAAACCACAUUUAUAGCUUAUUUAUUAUUCAAAAAACUCAUUUUGAUUACUUGGAUUUGUAGUUUAGCGAAAACAAAUUAUUAAAGUUCAAUAACUAGUCCAAAACCAAAAAUAAUGUCCAAAAAGCCCAAGAUUAAUCGUGAAAUCAAAUUAAAUCAUUCAAUUUGAGAAUGACUAAUCUAAGCCCCAAAUGUCACCCGAUCCUAAGUCUAAGGGUUACAUGAAAAGUUUAAUAAAUUGAGUGAGCUAGAAAGCACAGUGUGCGACUUAGCCCACAUACAUGACAGAUAACAAAAUUGAAUCACAAUUUUCAGCAUAACAGAACAUAUAUAGAAGCAUAGCAUGCAAUAUCGAUGCAAAAUCAACAAAUAGAUCAGAUCCUACCCCCAUUCGCUACGCACCAUCUCCAACCCACCCAACACACCAAAUAGGGUAAAUAAUACCCACCCAACCUCACACACCAAAUAGUGAUCAUAUGUCACUAUACAGAAAUAUGCAGUCAUGCUGCCAAAUGUUAUGCAGAAAUUCGACACAAUCAAAUACUACAACUAUAACUGCCAAAUCCAGAUAUUGUGCUUUUACCACCAGAAAUGCAGAUCAUAGUUUGCCAGAAGUUGCAACACCCCUAACUCCUAUCCGUCACCGGAACAAGGUUAUAGAGCAUUACUAGAGUUUUUCAAAUCAAACAAACAUAAAAUUUCAAACUUUUCAACUCAUAUCAAUAAACAUAUUAAACCCAAUUCAAAUUAUACAUAUUGUCCCUUAAACGAGCCCUCGAGGCCCAAAAUACGCAUUAGAAACAAGCCAGGACUAAAUCGGAAACUCAGAGAAUUUUUCAAAAAAUAUUAAAAAUUUUCAACAUUGCAGGGGUCACACGGUUGUGAGGGAGACACACCCGUGUCUUAGGUUGUGUGGACGUUCGAAUUAGGGACACAUGGCUAUGUCCUUGCCGGUGUCCAUGCACGUGUAACUCACUAACUCAAUCACACGGCCAAGCCACAUGCCUAUGUGCUAGGUCGUGUACCCUUCAAAAUAACCUCACACGCCCGUGUGGUAGGCCGUGUACUAGGCUGUGUAACAAUCUGACUUGCAACCCUUCAAAAGCUAUAAGGAACACACGGCCGUGUCGUCUGUGUCUCUGCCCGUGUGGACGAAAAUAGGUCAUUUUUCAAACCUUUUUUCUCACCCAAUUUGUCAUGUACCUACAACCAAAAAUGUACAUAUGCACAAGCCAUAACAAGGCACCAAAAUUAUGCAUAAUCAAGUCAUAUACAUAAGUUAUAAUCACAUACAACCAAUAUGCCCUUAGGCAACUCAAAUGACAACAUUAAAACAUAUAUAAACAUGUACUCUAUUUGGAAAAAUAAUUAACUACUAAGCAUAUUUGCAUCAAUUCAUGCCAUUUAUUUUACUUGCCAAAACUUCUCGAUUGGUACCAAAUAUGCCACUCUAAACUAGCACCAAAUUACCAUAUAAGUCAUACAUACUAAAGUACCAAUUCUCCACAAUUUCAUCAUAUCACAAAACACAUUUAACUAUCAUUUUACCUUUCACUAUUCAAAUACAAAUCAAGCCACAUAGCAACCAUGUCAACGUUACUUAUAUACAUACCAAAAUAUGUCACAACACAAGCCAAAUCAAAUGGCCAUAUUCACAACAAAACAUAUAGGCCAACAUUAGCCAAAAUACCUAUACAUGCCAUUAUAACCAAGAUCAAAACAACCGAAAGUACCAAAAGAGCUGAUGGAUAGUGUGAUAUAACUCCGAAAAGUUUCCAACCCGAACGAGUUUCCAAUUCACUAUAAAACACGGAAAAUAACACAGAGUAAGCAUUUAAGCCUAGUAAGUUCGUAUAUCAUAGAAUAAAACUUACAUUUAGUCAUAUAAUAGGUAAGUAAACAUAGAAUAUCCCAACAUAAUUUGGCCAAAUGCCUAAGCACAUAUACAUCAACCAUGUUAGCCAUGUAAAUACAUAUAUAAACCAAUAAUCAUGGAUGAGCACAAUAAUUGAUUAAGUUUCAUAUACAUGUAUCAUCCAAUUCAAUUAUCGAUAUACCAUGUAACAACAUUUCCAUGUAAUUCAUGUGUGUCCCUGUAAUAGUCUGUAUCAAACUCAUACCAAUUUGUAUCAAAAUAUUGCCCGUUGAACCAUUAGAAUUCCGUUGGAUACCAAGGAUAGCUCACACAUAGUGUGCUAACUCAUAUAACUAUAAUCUGUCAAAUCCUGUACACAUAUGCUCAUACAAGCUGUGAAUCGGUAUGCUCACUCGAGCUAUAUAUCGGUAUGCUCUCAUGAGCUGUAAAUCGAUAUACUCACACGAGCUGUGGGUCAGAACGUACCUACAUGAUGCUGCUCACACGAGCUAUGGAUUAUCUACAACACAUGCAGGAUCUCAGCCAUCGGUAAGACGUUCAAGACCAGUACUCGAAUCAUGUAAGCCCUAAUGACAUGUCAUUUGUAUCCUACGAAUUCUUAAGGUUCAAACGGGGCUCGGUAAUCAUCAUAUGUCAUUGGAUAUGCAACCAUGUAUAAAUGUAGCAAAUUUACAAUUCAUGCAUAUUUCAAAAUAAAACAUAUAAUCACAACUUAAUCACACGAAUUUACGUAGAUACGAAGGCGAUUAAUCCGAGGCUUUCUUUUUGCCCCGAUCUAAAGCCGUACGAGGUCUAUCUUGAUCUAUACUGAUCAAUUUAACUCAAUUCAAUAUAAUUUUCAUUCAAUUUAACCCAAAAUCAUAUUUUGACAAAAUUACUAUUUUACCUCUAUACUUUUAAUUCUUUGCAAUCUAGUCCCUAGCUCAUAAAAAUGGAAAUUCAUGAAAUUCCAUCACAACCCACUAUAGCCGAAUAUUAAGUAGGUCCUUAGCAUGCCCUAUAUUUCAUUAAUUUCUCAAUUUCACCAUGUAUAAUUUUCUAUUUUUCAAUUUAAUCCCUAUUUGGCAAUUUCAUCAAAAAUCUCUUUACAAAAAUUGUUUAUCUAACAACUAUCCAUUUUCUAUCAUCAAACAUCAAAUAUCAUGUAAAUUCAUUAAUAGAAAAACCUAAUAAUUUAACAGUUUCACAAAUUAGUCCCUAGGCUAGCUAGAUUAAGCUACAACGAACCCAAAAACAUAAAAACUCAUUUAAAACGAGACAAAUAUCACUUACAAUGCAAGGAAAAAUAGCCUAGCUAAAACCUUCUCCUUUGUUUAUCUAGGGUGGCGAUUCUUUAGGUUAGAAAAUGAAGAAGAUAGUGUUUUAAUUUCAUGUUUUCUUUUAUUAAAUUAGUUUAAUUUACUUAAUUACAAAGUUAACCUUUUAAAACAUCACAAAUUACACCAAUGCCAAGUCAUGUACAUCCACUAUCACAAUUUAUGGUCUAAUUACAAUUUAAUGACUCCUACUUUAAGGUUCUAUAGCUAUUUAAUACUUUUAGCUACUAGAACUCAACUUUUACGCUUCAUGCAAUUUAGACCUUUUUAUCAAAUUGAGCAUGUAAACAGUAAAAUUUCUUUAAGAAUUUUAUAUAUGGUACUGCUAUCAUGCUAUAGACAAUAAAAUAAUAAAAUAAAUUUGCCAACUUUGAAUUUGUGGUCCUGAAACAUUUGUUCCAAUUUCACUGAAAACGGGUUGUUACAACUCUCCCUCCUAAAGGGAUUUUCGUCCCCGACAAUCUUACCAGAAAAGAGGUUUGGAUAUUUAUUUCUCAUAACUUCCUUGGGUUCCCAAGUGGCUUCUUCUAUUCCGUGUCAUUGCCAGAGAACUUUUACUAAAGCUAUGUUCUUGUUUCUCAAUUCUUUCACGUCUCGUGCCAGAAUUCUGAUUGGUUCCUCACUGUACGACAUAUCUGGUUGAAUCUCAACAUCGGUUGGGGAGAUAACAUGUGAACGGUUAGAUCGGUAUCAUCGUAACAUAGACACGUGAAAGACAUUAUGAAUAUUUUCUAGUUUUGACGGUAAAGCUAAUCAAUACACAAUAGGUUUGAUUCUUUCAGUAAUCUCAUAUGGCUUGAUAAAUCGAGGACUUAACUUUCCUUUGUGACCGAAUCGAAGAACCUUUUUCCAGUGCAAUACUUUCAGAAAUACUCUAUUGCUUGAAAUUCUAUGUCUUUACGUUUAAAAUCCGCAUAUGAUUUCUGACGAUUUGAAGUUGCUUUCAAACUAUCUCGAAUCACUUUUACUUUUUCCUCAGUCUCACGAAUCAAAUCAACCUUGAGUAUUAUGUUCUCACUGAGCUCAGUCUAGUGUAACAGAGUUCAAUAUUUACGACCAUACAAAGCUCCAUAUGGUGUCAUCUUUAUGCUCGACUAAAAACUUUAUUAUACGCGAAUUCAACCAACAGUAAAUAUUUCUCCCAGUGACCAUCAAACUCUAAUACACAGCAACGAAGCAUAUCUUCAAGACUCUAAACUACUUACUCGGGCUGACCAUCGGCCUAAGAAUGAAAUGCAGUACUAAAAUGCAAUCGCGUACCUAAAGCUUUCUAUAACUUUCUCUAGAAUCAUGAUGUAAACCACGAAUCUCUAUGUGAAAUUAUAGAAACUAGUACCCCGUGUAAUCUGACAAUCUCAGAAACAUAUAACUCAGCUAACCUAUUAAGGGAGAAAUCUGUACGUACCAGGAUAAAAUGUAUUGACUUCGUCAAUUAAUCAACAACAACCUAAAUGGCAUCUUUCUUUCUCAGAGAUAAGGGUAAACUCGAUUCAAAAUCCAUAGUAACUCGAUCCUAUUUCCACUCCGGUAUCAUCACUGGUUGCAAUAAUCCAGAAGGUUCCUGAUGUUUAGCUUUAACUUACUGACAUAUUAAACAUCUCUAUACAAAGUCAGAAAUCUUGCGUUUCAUUCCUAGCCACCAGUACAUCUGUUUCAAGUCACCAUACAUCUUAUUACUUCUUGAAUGAAUAGAUAAGCUACCAUUAUGAGCUUCCUGCAAGAUUCUCAGAAUAAGCUCUGGAUUUUUUGAUACACAAAUUCUAUCUCUGAACAAUAAGCAAUCAUCGGGUCCUAUCUGAAAUUCUAAAUCAGAAGCUAAUUCACAUUAUGCCCAUUUAGGUAGCAAUUCAUCAUCACAUUUUUGAGCUUCGCAGUUUUUUGUAAAAACAUCGGUCUAACUUUUAACUCAGCUAAGAUCGAACCAUCAUUAGAUAAUGUCAGUCGCGUAUUCAUAUCAGACAACAUACAUAUCAUUUAUUAAAGCUUAUGAAAUCGUUGACCUUGUAUACACAAUCAAAACAUGACCUUAACUAAACUUAAUCAAAAUGGGCCGACAUGCCCUACUUGGCACAACCAUGUGGCCCACACAACCUGACACACAGCCUAACACACGUCCGUGUGGCUCCCAUGGCCAAACGCACGACCGUAUAGCAUUGAUAGUUUCAAUUUAUGUAUAGUUUUACGGGUUUACGAGUUAGGGUCACACACCUGAUUGAUCUUGGGAUGUUGACACUACAGCAGCUCCAAAAUCUGUAGUCAACAUUCGUAACCUAAUUAAUUAAUACAAAAUAUAAUUGAAACUGAACUAUGUAUUCGACCCCUAAAAAAUUAAGGAAUCCAACCAAAUUCAAUUGAGAAAUUGCCACUUACCCAAAGGAGGGUGGUUCACACACUCUUAAUCUACUGAAGAGUUAUUUUCCACACGCACCUUACCUAAAUAGAAACAUAAGGUGAUCAAACCUCACAAACAUACACUAAUUAGCCAAUGAAAAUUUGGUUAAUAAUUAAAUAAAAUACCAAAUCCAUGUCCAUAUUUGCCUACUAAAAACUCAUUAAACCAUUUAAGUCCCUUUUUCCUUUAUUCAAUAAGCCAUUUAAUCACUCAAAUCAAAUAGUGAUCAAAUUUUACAUCUUUUACGAUUUAGUCCUUUUUAAUUAAUUAACUAUUUAGACAUUAAAAUUUUGUAACGAAACUUUAAUACAACCUUAAUAACAUUUCGUUAUAAAUAUUUACGGCUUGGUUUAUAGAAGCAAGGUCCUGAUACCUCAUUUUCUAAAACCACUUGACUUUAGGGUCUUACCACUUGAACUUAAUAAAUCAUUUACAUAACAUUAAUUACCAUAUCAAAAACCUUUUUAAAAUCAAAUUUAAAUCGUAAAUAUUAAAUAAUAAUAUUUACGAACUUACUCGUUAAAUUUGUGGCCUUGAAACCACUAUUUUCGAUCCACUAAAAAUAGGCUAUUACAUAGGUAGUGUUUGGAAAGUCACCAAGUAAUUGGAUUUGGGUGUAAUUGCUUGUAAUUACACAUGGCUGACAUUUUUGGGCAACCAUUGUAAUCGGUAGGUCUAAAUUAAUUUCAUGUAAUUGGAGCACCCCAAUUACACUUUCUAAUUCUUUGGGGAGGGUGAGAAUUGGAGUAAUUACACAGGUAAUUACAUUCAAAUUCAAUUUUAAAAAUUAUUUUUUAUACAAGUUUAAGUUAUAACUUUUUAUAUUAUAAUCAUGAAUACGUAUGAGUGUUUUAGAUAGUUAUGAAAAAAAAUUUAUUAUAUUAUAAAUCUUAAAAAAUAUAUAUCACAAAAACUUUUGUAUAUUUUGUAAAGUUAUAACAAAAAAUUAUAUUAUUUAAAUCUUAAUUUUUUUAAUUUAUGACAAAAAAGUAUUAUAAAAUAUAAUUUACAUGUUAUAAAACUGUUAUAAUAUAUUUUUUAUAAAAAAAAGUUAUGGACAAAAAUUAUUUAUGUGAUCAUGCUAUAUAUUAUAAAAAAUGUGCUUAUUCAUAAGGUUAUAGUUUUUUUUUAUCCUAAUUGAUUUGUAAAAAAUUAACUUUCUAAAGUAAUAGAAAAAAUAUAUUAUUUAUAAGAAAUGUUAUGAAAGUUAUUACACUUCAUAAUUUUUUUUAUAAAGGUUAUAUACCCUAUUAGGUAUAAUGACUUUUUUGGCCCUCGAACUUUAUAAAAUAUCUGUGUUUUUUGUCAAAUUACCCCAAUAUGGAUGGAAAAGUUAACGUUUGUUAAAUUUGCUGACGUGACAUUCAUGUGGAUUGUCACAAUGACACAUUAGCAUUUAAUUAAUUUUUAAAAUUUUUAAAAUAUUAAAAAUAUAUUUUUGUAGUUUUAAUAAUUUUUAAAUAUUUUUAAUGAUUUUUAAUUUUUUAAAAAAUAAAUUUAUCUUUUUUAUUUUUUUAUUUUAAAAAAAUAAUUAAAUAUUGGCGUGUAAUCCACACCUAUGCAGCGUCAGAAAAGUUUAAAAAAUUCAUUCAUUUUGGGGUGAUUUGACAAAAAAAAACCCUCAAGUUUAAGGACUUAAAAAAAAUGAAGGGCUAAAAUGACUUUUUUUGUAAAGAUGGAGGGCCAAAAAAGUCGUUAUGCCUAUUAUAUAUUUUAUAUUAUUUUUUACAUAUUAUAAAAUAUGUUAUAGCCUAGUAAAAUUCUUUUUUCCAAAUUAAUUUUAUAUAAGUUUUUGUUAUUAAAGCUACAGGCUAUUUGCAUCAUGAAUCCAAAUAUUAUAUAGUAGAUGUUAAUUAUGCAAAUACGAAAUAUUUUCUUACACCAUAUCGUAGGGUAUAAUACCAUUUGAGAGAAUGGAGCUUAGACAUAAGCACUAGAGACGACUCUUGAACUCUUUAAUUUGAGAUAUUUAAGGUUUCAAAAUAUGGUUGAGAGGACAUUUGUUGCUCCAAAAAACUAAUUCUCAUAUUAACAAUAUCACCUUCGUAUAACAUUAAAAUAUUAAGGUUGGAUUGUACUAGUAUGUUGCAUACUUCAUAGCUUCAUUCAUUAGUGGAUUUAGAAUGAUCCAUACUCUGAAUAGCACAUGGAAGAAAGAGGUAAUGAUAAUCUUAAUGAUACAAAUUCAUAUUCAAAUUAUGAUGAACUCGCUCAAGGACCAAAAUUUGUAAUACCAAACAUGAUUUAGGGAAUUAUAAUGUAAUCAUAUUGUGUCAGUGAAACACGUUUAGGGAAUUAUGAUUCUUUGUAAUUACAAGAGAGUGUAAUUACUACCCUAAUAAUUACACUUUCAUUUAAAUACUCUAUAUCGUCCAAAUAGACCCUAAGAGUAAAAUUUCAUAUGCUAUAAAUUAUAAUUUUUAAUUUAUUACAUAUAGAUUUUGACCCUAAAUAAACUAUAAAAAUAGUCAUCCAAUUAUGCAAUUGGUUUUAUUUUGGUCACCCACCUAUUUUUUUUCCAAUUUAGUUACUUAACUUUGUGAAAUUAAAUAUUUUAGUCACUCUUUGAUUAGUUGCGUUAGCUUAGUGACAAAAGUCUAACAUGUGCUUUUUUAUUAACCUAAUAACAAAUUUAGCUCUAAAAUAUUUUCACAUUCUAUCAACUUGAUUUUAAAUUAAAAAAUUCAACAAAUUCCAUAUAAAAAAACAUAUCCUCUUUUACCAUCAACAAUACACACCACUAGCCCUAUCAUAAACCACCAUAUACAACACAUCAUCAUCCUUAACUCAUUCUGGCAAUUCUAUAUAUAUGGCCAUUUCAUCUUUUUUAGACUUCCUUUUUUUUCUUUUCUCUUUCCUUUUUAUUGUCUUAAUUAGCAUGGCCAUUUUCCUUGCAUAUCUUAUCUUUGUCUCCACUUUCACCCUUCAUUUCCUGAUGCACUUUGGUUUUAUACUCAUUGUUUGGUGUUGAGUGUUUUAGAGUGUGUGUCCUUCAAAAUGGUUAUAUUUUCUAUUUAUAUGAUACGGUUACUAUUUACGGAUGGCACAUCAUAGGUAGGUCCCCAUGCAUGCCAACACAUACCCUAUUCUAGGGUUAACAUGUGUUUUCUAAAUGAGGGUUUGCCUUCGUGGUGGUGUGAACCAACAUUGUGCAGUCUCAUAGAAGGAUGCAAACACCUCACGUGCGAACCUUAUAGACUCAGGGUCAGAACCCAAUCGGGUAUCUGGGUACUGGGUUAGUAAUGGAUAUUACCAUAACAAUUUGUCUCCCACCUAGUUUAAAGAAGAGUCACAAAGUGACUCUUCUAAGAACUUGACUUCGCGAGGUGAGAGAUUCUUGAGAGAGAAGCUUAUCGUGUACGCUUUUUACUUUAGAUUGUCACGUAUGCUUAACUUAUUGUGCCUUCAUCUCGGAUACAUGAAUCGUUAAAGUGUAAAACUCUUUUAAAAUAUGGUUACCCUAACCCUAAGAAUCAAACCAUUUGCAUUUGAACUUUUUGAGAAGGAGCUUCUUUUAGGGAGAAUAAUUAUUUUUCAGAGGUAAUUCUUUUAAAAUUUUCCAAUUAUUUUUUUGGUUUUUUUUGGGUUUAUUCGAGCACAAUGGUUAGGGCGAAAGGAAGUAACUGUGUCAUUCAGGGCAUCCAUCAAUGCCGUGAACUAAAUGCUCUAAUUUUUACACUCAUUAGCCUGUUAGGAAGAAAUGGCGUAUACUAACCCGCCAACAGUUCACCCAAUGAAUUGGGGCAUUACUGACAGAUUCAAAACCAUAGAAUUGUUUAAAGUUUGAGAAAAAAAGUUAUAAGGAUUCUUUUUUCGUUAAAAUCAUUAAUCUUUUAUCUAUUAUUAGAACAUCUUUAAGGAGAGAAUAAAGACUACUAAACUAUUCAUUGAUUAGGAUCUGCCAUCAAAGGUGAAUACGCUUAAGGAAAGAUAAUUUUGAAACUACAAAUCUAGGAAUUUGGCAAUGACAAAUAUGUAUAUAUAUAAACAAGGUCGAUUACUCUUUAAGACAAAACAAUACAUUUAUAGAGUUAAAACGAAAAUUAAACACAAAACAACUGGGUGUGCCCUUCACUAAUAGCCAUGUAUGAUACAAAACAAUUAAGUGGCUCACUUAUAGAUGCAACUUUGGCGUAAUUGCCACUCAACGAAUCUUUUCUACUAAAAUGCUUGAGAAAGAAAGGUAACGAAGUAAGUUUAGUGAUUUCCUUAAUAACACAACAUGAUAUCAGGUUACCCCUGAUCAAAUCAAAGAUUAAGACACUUUUGAAACUCCACCCUACAGUGGUUUUACACCAAUCCGCCAGUCUACUGGUGCACACAAAAAAACUAUAUCGCAAAAUCCUUAAUGGAAACGUGCCAGUAAAUCAUGCGUAUUUCUCUCAAUCAUAUAUGUUUACCUGUGACCCAACCUUGUGCCAACCUCAGACCCUUGGAUCAUAAAUCAGAAUCGCAUAUCUUUAUUUAUAUUCCUUUUCAUAUUGAACACAUAUUCUUCCACAAGGUCAGGCUGUGAUUUGUCAGUCUAGUUUGCAAUAAAGUUACCCUACCGAAAGCAUCACAAAUAAGGUUUCUUUCCAUAUUUUUACAUAUAGUAGAUAGUUUAGUAUUCAACUAGCACACAAGGUGGACAUUAACUGUGACCAUGGCCAUGUACAAACAAUCCUGACUCGUUAACACACAACACAGUGACGUAUAUUCAACAGAGACAACUUACCUUACACGAUUCCAUCUCAUAGAGUUUUUAAAACCUAGAAGAAGCAAAAAAAAAAACUCAACAGAACUUGCAAGAUAGAAUCUACUUUAUUUAUCUAUUACCUCAAUCGUUGGGACAUUCUCUAGUUUCUUGGGCUAAAUAAAAAAUAAUCAUAAUUACCAGACCCUUUGUCUACUAUAAAUUGAUCAUGCAUAUACUAGAGCAAAGAUGUAAAUCUUCUCAACAACUUCCUAAGGGUUUCCCAUAAACUAUCAGUCUGUUGGUACUUAUCAAUGGCAUUUGACAAGUUUUUGGAUAUUUUCCUUGUCUCCUCUAGGGAAGAUGACUUAAAAGAAAUUUCUUAAAGACGUAGGAGAGGACACAUAGAAAAAAGAAAAAGGCAAAACAUGCUGGUUAUAGACACCAUUUUAUAGCACACACAAUGGAAAUAAGCUUCGAUGAGAGGUUUGAGACCCCACUACCAACCUUGAAUUUAGAAACUAAGCUUACUUAAUAAGAUUUGAAAUCUAACCUCUUUUCAAAUGUAACUACUACCACUAAUCAGAGUGGUAAAACAUAGCUUAAAAACUUAGGCGACCAACUAAAUCGAUCAUUCGGUUACCUAAACAUAUCAAGUUGUCAUCUACAAUACUCUAGUUCAAUUCUAACUAGAUCUAAACUAAACUCUAACUAUGUCUAACGGCUAUCGCUCUGCAAACUAACUAGAUCUUAUCGCUUUGCGAACAAACUAAUUCACCCAGAACAUCUAGGGCUAGUGGAUCGUCUUAUAAAAGAGCCCGUCAAACCUUAGAGUUUGACAGCCUUAGAGUUUUCCAAAUGGUGAAUUCCACCGAGGCGGGCCCCAUAAAAGUAUACCGAAAAACACGUCAACCCAACACUUAAGUUAAUAAUUCACCUUAAUACUACUUUGGCUUACUCAAUUAUACACCAAAAGAAUAUUGGUAUGAUCUACGCUGAGCGGGCUGUUACACCAGUGGAGCUGAAAGUUUUUGUUUGUACCACCAAUAAGGAAAGAAACAAGUCGUCAUUUUGCUGCUCAGGGAAUUCAAAUACCGAACUUUGCCUAUGAAUUCUCAAUCGUUGAAAGGUCAAACCAACUAAGGGCUAGUUUAGCUAUAAUUUUGAAAAGUGCUUUUGAAAAAUGUUGUGGAAAAAUGCUUUUAAGAAGUGCUUUUGAAAAGUUUGGUUUAAAAUUUGAGUGUUUAGCAUUGCUGUCAAAAAGUGCUUUUGGGAAAUAAAAUGUCCAUUUUAAACAUGUUAUUGUCAAGUAACAAAUAUGCAUUUAAAUAAUAUUUAAAUUAGUUAAUAUUAUUAUAUUUUAGUAAGAAUAUAAAAAUUAUUAUAACUUGUUGUUAAUAUUUUAAUAUAUGAAAUAUAAAUUUUAAAUAUUUUUAAGCAAUAAAUAUUAAUUAUUUAUAAAAUUUAAUUAGAAUAUGUAAAAUAUAUUUUAAAUAUUUAAAUAUAACCACUAAAUAUUCGUCAUUAGUAUUUUAAAAAAAAUAUUUUUUAUUUUUAAUUAAUGAUUUUAACACAUUUGUAAUUAAGCACCAAGAAAAGAAAAAGGGAAAGUACUAUGUUAUUGGAGGGGUGAAAAAGUAAUUAAACAUAAAAGUGCUUUUGGGAUAGGAAAAGCUAAAAAAUUUAGCUUUUCCUUUUCAGAAGUGCUUUUGAAAUGUCAAAAAUUUCAGCCAAAAGCAGUUUGUUUAGCAGAGCUUUUCUUCCAAAAGUGCUUUUGGAGCCAGAAGUGCUUUUUUUUUUAAAAGAACUAGUAAAUAGGCCCUAAGUGGUGAAAGUUUUCUACUUCCUUUGCAUGUGCUAGAAAUGGUCUUUCAUCUACCACUCCAUCCAUUUUUCUGUCAUUUUCUCUAUGAGUACAUGAUAGCUUUCGGGUAGCUAUAUGGUUUUUCGUGAUGGGUUAUAGUGGCCUAUUUCCUCGAAUGUGGUCAGUGAGAGAUGUCAUUGAUCGUUGUUUUUCAAAAUCUGUAUUAACUCAAAGUGUGCAAUCGAGGAGGUUAAGUUGCCUUGUUUUACUUUUUUCUUUGCGAAGGAGUGGAAUCAAUUAUCUCCAAUUGGUCUUUGAAUCUUCGCCUAAAUCAUUGUGAAUGUAUAUGAGUCAAGUACAAGUUUGGAACUAUUUUUGGUUUUCCAACCGAAUGGUCCGUACCUAGUAAGAGCAUGUGCUGGCGAAAAUGAGAUAUUAUAUUUGAAGUGGGAUAGGCUCAAUAUUAUAGGCUUCGUUGUGGUUGCGUAAUAGAUUUGAAGGAAGCGUUAAUAGUUAGAAAAGUGUUUCAAUACUGUCUCAUAAAUCUGAACCCUAAUGGAUGGUGACCAAUUUAUGAUAACAAUAGUGUGGACACCGUGACUAUUUUACCUGUGCAGUUCAUAUGGCCACAUAGAACCAGUGAUGAUUUAGGGCUUAUUCUCUUAGGAAAAAAGGAAGAGCCUAAAUAUUAUUUUUAUACCUUUUGUAAAUUCAAGCCUCAUCCAUAGUCCUUUAAACUUGCAAGGGAUAAAAAAAGUGAUGCGAACCCCCUGAUGAUAAUUGUUGGUGUUGAAAAUAGACUUGUUGGUGAUACAGGCACAGUUCACGUUGUUGAAAAAAAUUUAGAAGAAUCCACAAGUUUAUCUAGAGAGAUCGAUAAAUACAUGAACGUGCGGUCCUUUAUGUAAAAUGUGUGAGGUGGUCCCUCUAGUACUUCUACUAGGGAGGAGAGUGCAAGUAGUAGAAAGAAACAAAAGACUACUGUUGGAGCUACUAACAUUAUAUUAAGUAGUGAAGAUGAGGGUAGUCCAGCAAGAGAAAUUCAUCGAAAGAAAAGGAAAGAUCAUGUUGUAACAUUAAGUGAUGUGGCAACCACUACUAUAGUUCCUUUUGUGGUUCCUUCUUACUCCACCUUGGGUAAUACCAUCAACUAGUGGCAUAUUUGGGAUGAUUGUUAAUCAUACCCCUCCUUGAGGUUCCAUGAAGUUUUUGUCUUCGGGUGGUGAGACACAAACGUUUUUUUAGUUGCGCGAACACUUGAGCAUGUAGAAGUUUCCUUAUUGUUCCGUUGAACUGAGCUAAUAGUAGAAAUAUUCAAUGUCUGAAGAAGCAAAAGAGCAUGCUUUUCCAUCUAUAUCAUCUAACUGUGUGAGGAAAAAUUAUUUGAAGGAGUUUAUACUAUCUUUUUAAGUAGCCUUGGUGAAAUUGGUAUGGUCAGUGUGGAGCUCGCUGAGGGCAUUGGUGAACAGAAAGUAAAUAUGAUAGAUAUUGAAAAUGCAUAUCAGUUUACCAUGGACACGUUAGAAAGGGCUCGCAAAGUACAUAAGAAUUUGAAUGAGGAAAAUAGAAAAUUAGUGGAGCAGAAUAGGAUGUUACAGGAGCAUUUCACUCUCAUUGAAAAAGAUAUUGAAAAACUGUUUGGAGAUAUCGUAGGUGAGCGAGCUGAUAAGGAUGUUUUGGAAGCGACCAUGAAAAGCAUGGAUAAAAGACAUAAACUUGUCAUAGCUAAUCUGGUGAAGAGUAAUGAAGAGGCUUUGAAAAAGUAAAAAGCUAAUACCAUGCAAAGCUUUCAGGAUUAUUUUCCAAUUUUAAAAUCUAAUUUCUUGUUACAUGCUCAAGUGGUUGGCGAUCCCUUUGAUGGUCGCUGGGUAAACUUCGAUGCUCUCAGCCAUCUCAUGGGUGCUCAACUGGACUUCGAUGUUCACUUUCCCUCUAGAGCUACUUAGGAGGAAUUUGUGGAAGAGUGAAAGAUUUCCACCAGGCUUUACUUUGUUGAUACUCUUGUUAAGAACAAUAUAGCUCCUACUGUUAGGCAUAAUGGAAAUGCUAACAAAAAAGUGGAGGGAAAAGAUGAAGAGCUCACCAAUCCCUAAGAUACCAGUGCUAACUCAUGAAUUCCUUGUUUUGAUUGUAUUUAGUAUUUGUAUUUUGAAAUGGAAAGUAGUAUCUUUACCUUUUGUUGAAACCUUGUCAUGUUUGAUUGUGAUUUUGUUUGAGCAAAUUGCAUAAUUAAGUGUCCAUCACAAAUGACUUAAUGAAUAUAAUUUAAAUGGUGGUCUGGAAAUCAACUAACUCAAAUAGGAUUGUUGAUGAUGAUAAACCAAAUGAAUUUAGGCUAUGAUCUUAGAUCAACAAGCAAAUUAGAGCAACGAUAUUAAAUCAGCUAACUCAGAUAAGAUUGUUCAUGAUAGUAAAUCAAAUGAACUUAAGUUGUGAACUUAAAUCAACGAGCCAUUUGAAGCAGCGAUAUUAAAUUAGCUAACUCAGAGAGGAUUGUUCAUGAUAUUAAACCAAAUGAACUUAGGCUGCAAUCUUAGAUUAGUGAGGAUAUUAGAGCAAUGAUAUUAAAUCAGCUAACUCAGAUAGGAUUGUUCAUGAUAGUAGAUCAAAUGAACUUAGAUUGCGAUCUUAAAUCAGUGACCCAUUUGGAGUAGGGAUAUUAAACCAGCUAACUCAGAGAAGAUUUUUCAUGAUAAUAAAUCAAAUCAACUUAGCUUGCAAUCCUAAAUUCGUGAGUCAUUUGGAGCAGCGAUAUUAAAUCAGCUAACUCAGAGAAAAUCAUUCAUGAUAGUAAAUCGAAUGAACUUAGGUUGUGAUAUUAAAUCAGGGAGUCAUUUGGAGUAGCGGUAUUAAAUCAGCUACCUUAGAGAAUAUUGUUCAUGACAAAUAAACUAAAUAACAUUUGCAAAGAGUGUAUCUUUAUUGAAAAAGAGAGUAGACCAUUCAUACAUCAUAUUUUUUUUAGAUGGUGCACAUUCCAUGUCCAAGGUUGAACAAAGUCAUCCAUUUUUACUAUCCUAUAAGCUCCAGAGCCUAUUUUUUCAACAACUUUGUAGGUUCUAUUCCAAUUAGGGGUCAUUUUUCCUUGCUACGAUGCUCACAAACUAGCUUUAGUAUUUCUUAAAACUAGAUCGCACACUCGUAAUUAUUUUUUCUUCACCCUAGAAUUAUAGUAUUGAGUGACCUCUUGAACUAGUGCAACAUUUCUAAUUUCUACUGUCUCCCUAAAUUUUUUUAUAAGAUCUAAGUUGGGUCUAGUGUCCUCUUGGUUGGCAUUUUCAUUGAAAUUAGUUGUCCUAUAUGAUCGCAGGUUUAUCUCAAUAAGGAUUACCGCCUUUGCUAUAUACCAAUGAGAAUGUUAUCUCUCCAUUUACUAUGUGAUGUGAAAUUCGUAGGGCCCAUCCUAGUAGCUCUUCUAACCAAGAACAUUUGGCCUUAUCAACUUUUUUCUUUAAAUCCAUUAAAAUUUCUUGUUCACUGCCUCUACUUGACCAUUUGUUUAGGGAGUUUUUAUAAAGCUUUAACUGAAAACAAUUUGCAGGUCCUUAUAGAAGUUUUUCAAUUUUCCCUGAAUUUGGGUUCUAGUGUCUAUUAUGAUAAGAUGUGGAAUGCCAAACCUGUAAACAAUAUAUUUCCAGAGAAAAAACUUCAUUUGUCUCUCUGUGAUUGUAGCUAGAGCUUCAGCUUCUAUCCACUUAGUAAAAUAGUCCACAACUACAAUUAUGAAUUUCUUUUGAGCUGUUGCUAUUGGAAACAGACCUAAAAUAUCUAUCUCCAAGUUUCAAAUGACCAAAGACUAAACAUUACUUGUAGAGGCUCACUUGUUGACUCGUUGCACUUAAGCAUGUUUUUGGCAGGAAUCAUAAGUGCAAACCAUAUGGUAUGCAUAUUUAUACAUAGUUAGCCAAUAAUAACCUUGCCUGAAAACCUUCUUUUCUUACAAUCUUCCACCCAGAUGAUUGUUGCAUAUUCCCUCAUACAUCUCUCAUAACAAAUACAGCUUCAGUGGGAGCGAGACAUCUCAAAAGUGGUUGGGAGUAACCUGUUUUAUAAAGCACACUCUUUAACAGAAUAUAUCUAAAGGUGAUAGAUAAAAUGAUUUUAAUUGAAUGAGGACUGAGUAACUUGCAGAUACAAGGAUACAUGAAAUGUAAAUAAUAACAUCAUACCUUGCAACCAUAUUUUGUAUUUUGGCAAGCUUUUGUUUGUUGAGGUGGUGAGUUUCCCCUUGUAGGGUUUUUACUAUAGGGGUCAUCCACAUUUCUUCUUGACUCAGAUUGAACACUUGAUGGGUUUCAUAGCUUGGGGUGACUCUAUGCUUUAACAGAAAUUUUCCAUUUUGCUCAAUUGUAAUAGAAGACGCUAACUUAGACAAACUGUCAGCUUUGGUGUUCUUCGUCCUGGAUAAUUGUCUAACUUGUGCCUUGUUAAACUGAGCGGGUAACUGGGCAACUAUGGCAUGGUAUUUCUUUAGGCUUGGCUUUUACUUCAUACUCUUCAUUCAUUUGCUUCGUUACCAACUGAGAAUCAAUGCGUAUUACCAAUUCCCUUACCCUCAACUGUAAAGCUAGUUGUAGUCUUGAAAUUAAUGCCUCAUACUCCGUAGCGUUGUUAGAUACUUGGAAGCUGAAGGAUAAUCCAUACUAUUACUCAUUCUCAUCAGGGUCUAUAAGGAGAACGCAUACCCCUGAUCAUUUCUUUGUUGUUAAGCCAUCUACAUAAAUAGCCCAACACUUUGGCUUCAUAGCUGAGCUAGUUUAUCUUUAUGAUGGGCUAACCACUACAUCUUGUAUAAUCAACAUGUUAUAGACAUAGAACUCAACAAUGCAACCAAUCUACUCUAUGAAAAUCUUAUUAACCGACCUUUGAUAGGUUGCAUUUGCGUUCUUCAACCUCAAAGCUAUAACUCGAUAGCAGAACAAGCCCUCCUCCAUAACAAAGGUCAUUUUAUCCUGAUCUUCUAGAGCCAUGAAAAUUUGGUUAUAACCUGAGAAUGCAUCCAUAAAACUCAUAAACUUAUGGCCUAAUGACGCAUCUACCAAUCUGUCGAUCGAGGGCAAAGAAGACAUAUCUUUUAAUCAAGUCAUGUUAAGACUAGUAAAAUCAAUGCACAUUCUCUAUUUUCCAUUAGCAUUCUUUGCCAUCACAAUAUUUCACACCCAGUUUGGGUAUGCCACCUCCUAGAUAAAUCCCACCAAAAGGAGCUUUCCUACUUCUUUUCUUAUGGUCUCCACAACUUGUGGAGCAAAUCUUCUUCUUUUCUGCUUAACUUGUUUGACCUCGGGCAACACAUUUAACAUAUGGAUAAUCACUUGAGGAUCAACCCCAGGGAUGUCUGUGGCUGACCAUGCAAAAACAUUUGAAUUCUCCCUUAAGCACCGUACUAAGUCUACAUUUUCCUCUUCUGCUAAUACGAAUAAGAUCUUUACCAACUUGCCCGUGUUAUCAUAAAAUAAUUACAAAGUUUCUAUGACUAUUGUUGCUUCUGGCAUGCAAAUUCUCUCCUCACUUCUAGCAUCCAAACUAUCCAAAUCUAAAACCUGGCUAACCAUCUUUACCUAGUGCAAACCCUAACCCUGUGGUUUCUGCUCAUGCAUUUGCUUAACUAACAACAUGUAACAUUGCCUUGUUGUUCGCUGGUCAGAUUUAAUAAAACCUAUCUCUAUCCUAAUAGGGAGUUUAAUCUUUAUACAAAAAGUAGCAAUCAUCAUUUUAGCCAUUCUCAAAAUAGGAUGCCUAAAGAUGGCAUAGUAAGUCAUUGGAUGUUCUACCACAAAGAACUAAACAUAUUCUGUGGUGGUAUGCUAGUCAUCCCCUAAGGUAAAAGGUAGAGUAAUACAUCAUUUUACCUCGACUAGAUGAUUCGAAAAACCAUACAAAGGGCUUACUUUCUUCAAAGCUUACUCCUUCAACCCCAUAUUUUGAUAUGCGUCUCAAGUCAACACCUCCACGACACUUCUGCUAUCAACCAAAAUUCUUUUAACCUAAAAUCUUGCUAUAGUUUUUUAUACUUCCAUAAAGUUAUUUCCUUCCUCAUCACAAACCAAAUCCUCAUCCUUUUCAUUAAAUUUCACUUUCUAGUUUUCUUGCUAAUGCAACCUCUUCAGUGAACUGACUAACAUCACACUUCUAAUAUGAGUCUUUCUCUUCGUGUUAGAGGUCGCAAAGUCCUCAUUUGUACCAAUUAUCGUGUAAUUCUCAAUCUUGUGACCCUUUUCAUUGUGAAAUUACAUCUGCCUCAAGAGUUGGUCCUAGACUAAUUGUGUCACAUAGGUGGAGGGCUUGGCAAAAUGCCCAAACUUUUGACCGGACUAAGAAUGUAGGUACGUGUAGCAUUUAAGGGGGUAUAAGUUUCAAAUUUUCCAUGAGGAACAUACCUUCUAGUAUGUUUGCACUGAGGCUUCUAGAAUGUCCUUAACGAUUUAUUCUGUGAAUAGUUCCUCAGUUGUCCGGCAUCUUGAACACGUAGACUCUGAGAAAGAUGAUCUUGUAGACCACAAGUAUUCUGGCAAUCUUUAAACUAUCUAUCAUCCUUCUGAAAAGUGUUGCGAGCUACCCUUUUAAUUUCCUCCGCCUUAACAAACUUAUGCACUCUCUCAUACAAGUCUGUCAAACUCUAUGGUUUGACUCAGUAAAUAGAUAUUUUACGUGUUCAUUUUGGACUCCCAUGAUGAAGGUAUCAAUGGCCCACUAGUCUUGCAGGUUCUUUGUGUUUAACGUUGCUACAUAGAACCAUUUAACAUAAUCUUACAAAGAUUCUCCAUCCUUCUGCUUCACUAAUAUCAAACUCAUAGGGGUGCUCAUUAUUGUCCUAUGGGCUCGAAACCUCCCCAAAAACGUCUAACUUAACUGCGAGAAGUUUUUAAUGGAGCCCUAUGGCAAAGACAGAUACCAAUCUUUCACAUUCUCCCUAAGAUGUGCCUAACUUAGCUGUAUCAGAAGCUCCUACACAUUCAUAUAAUUAUUAUACUACAUGAGAUGUGCCUGAGGAUCCCUUCUGCCUUUGAACAUCUUUUUUGGGACUUUAAACUCAGUUGGUAGGCACACAGUUACUACCUCUGAAGACAAGGGGUUGUUAGAACAAAACAACUAGUCCAUGUCUUGCACAUUAAGGUAUAAUACUUGCACAUCCCUAUGCAAAGCAUCCAUCUCAUUUUGUCAUGGCUUUGCUUAUGCUCCCACAUCCUCCUCCUAGAAAGGUGUGACAUGGUCUUGAAGAUCAGAGUGGUCGAACUGUACGUUUCCUUUCUAGUCCUCAUUUUGCCUUAAUAAUUCUUACUGAAACAAUUACUGUUGUUCAAACCUGGUACUUUGUUGAGUCAUUUGUUCUUUUAUCAACCUUAGUUGCUCUUACAAACCAAAUAGUUAUUGUGGCGAUGCUUCUUGAUCAAAGGGAAAUGGCAGCCACUAACUAGAGGUAGAAUUGAGAUUAAAAGAAUUGGAAACACCUAAUUGGCCUGAGUUGCCCAGAUUUUCUGGUCGGUCAGUAAACCAACCAAAAAAAAAGGCUCAUCUCACUAUGUUGAUUGUCGAUGCCAGAACCUCUUGCCUGGCCUAAUAGGAAAUUGUUAGGAAAGUUCUCGUUGUGGUGAGUCAUCUUAGUUUUCUGAUUUUCUGAUGGUCGAAAAUCUGUCUACGCUUACCACACCAAAUUGUUGAAUGUUUUAAAGUGUGUGUGCUUCAAAAGAGUUAGAUUCUUUAUUUAUAUGAUACGGUUUUGUUUAUGGGUGAGACGUCAUAGGUAGGUUCCCAUGCAUGCCAACACGUACUCUAUUCUAGGGUUAACACGUGUUUUCUAAAUGAGGAUUCGCCUUCGUGGUGGUGAGAACCUACAUCGUGCGGUCUCAUAGAAGGAUGCAAACACCUCACAUGCGAACCUUGAAGACUACGAGUUAGAACCAAUCGAAUAUCCAGAUAACAAGAUGAUAAUAGCGAGUAACUUAGAAACUUAUUAAUAGAGAUCAAUAUACAAAACACAUGCAGGUCAGCUUGAAAAUUAUUUAGUUAUUCUCACGUAGCCUUCUUUUUUUAUUCAUGAGAAUUGAUUUGAAAAAUCCUCCCAGUCACUACUAUUGAAAAUUAAAGAAAGAAAAAGAAAAUGUUAGCUUAAAGUUACAAUAAUCGAUUUAAGUUGACUCUUAGUUCUUCUUUCCAGUAGUAGAUGGAAAGUCCUGAGGGGUUUAACUUCAAACUAUGGUCUACAUCAUAUUUUAAUAUCAAUUGCAAUUAAUGAUGUGAAAGUUCAUUCAAUUUUCUUCCUUUUGUUUCUUAUUAAACUUCAUUGCUUGUGUUGUGCAGGAAAAAAAAGUAUAUACAUAAUAUAUAUCUACAUAUAUGUGAAGAUAAGGGAGCAAGUUAUAUAAAGAUGAGAACAUGGAUUUGAAUAUGCAAGGGUCCCAAGUCCAAUACACAAGGGUGAAGCCAGAACAAUUUUUUACGGGGGGUCGGAUGAAAUUUUAAUUUUUUAUACCCUAUAUAUUUAUAAUUUUUAAAAGAUUAAAUUGAAUUUUUAUAAUUUUAGGGGGGGCAAAGUACAAUUUUACCUUUACCAAUUUAAAAUAUUUUAAAAAUCUCAAGGGCCUAAAUAGUAAAUUUACAUUUUAGGGGAGCCGAGACCCUUGCUAGCCCCCUUAGAUUCGCCACUGCCAAUACGCAUAAGGUAUAGACGACGAAGGGGAAAUGAGGAGAGGGUCGAGGGUGUGUAUUACUUGUAACAGCCAAAUUUUUCAGUGGUGUCAGAAACAGUGAUUCGAGAUCACUAAAUCUGACGAGUAUGUUUAGAAAUUUUAACAAAUAAUAAUUAUAAGCCAAGUGCGAACUUAAAAGAAUUGUUUUUAAUUAGUGAAUUUUGCAAUUUUAAAAGAAUUAAUCAGGUAAAUUUGGUUGAAAACGAGGUAUCGAGACCUCGGAUUUAUAAACAGAGCCAUAAAUAUUUUUAUAAAUAUUUAUGGAGUGUUAUUAAGUUAGUAUUAAAGUUUCGUUAGAAAAUUUUAACGUUUGGUUAGUCAAUUAAUUAAAAAGGACUAAAUUGAAAAUAGUGUGAAAUUUAUUAAAUUGUGAUUAAAUAGUUUAAGUGAUUAAAAAGGAGGGAUUUAAAAGGCAAUUGGACCCAAAUUGUAUGGGCUGGACGGUUGGGCAAGAAAAUCAGCAAAAAAGACAAGGAGAAACAAGGGCAAAAUGGGAAAUUUUGCAAAUUAAACAUAUAAAACAAGACAAAUUUGAAAAAUCUAGAGAUAUCAUCAUUUUUCUUCAGCAAAAACGCCAUGGGAGGUCUGAAAGCUGCUGGUUUUUCAUACUUUGACAUAUGUGAGUUCAAUUCUUACCCUUUUCUUUGAGAUUUUUAUGUUUUUGUGACUUUUACAAUUAGGUCCAAGUGUUUAAUUCAUUAGUUUUUUUAUUUUAUGAACAAAAUUAAAAGCUAUCAUUGAUAAGUGUUAGCUUUUUAUGAUGAAAUAAAAUGAAUUUGAAGCUUUGAUUUUGUUGUUUGAUGAUUUUAUCAAGUAAUUUCAAUAGAAAUUGAUUUUAGGACCUAAUUGUGAAAAAGUUGUGAAUUAAGGUUUAGUGUUAAAAUUCUAAUUUUUAAAGAUUGUGUAAUAGUUUAGAAUGAUGGAAUAAAAUGUUAAUUGAGAAAAAUUAGCUUAAUAGAUGGGCUAAUUGAGCAAGGACUGAAUUGUAUGACCUUUGAAAUUUAGAGGAAAAAUGGUAAUAAACAUCUUGAACUAAAACAAUAUUGGACAGCAGAAGUAGACUAACUUUGAAAAAUCACCAUAAAUUGUAGAAAUCGAAUUAUAAGAUGAAUAAAAUAUGAAAUUAAAGCUUAUUGAGUCUAGUUUUUCAUAGAAGAAACGGUGUAAGCAAUAGAUUUGUAAAUUAUGAGAUAUAAUGAAUUUUGUGAGACAAUAUUAGAAUGAAUUCGGGUUCCCCUGUUUUGACUUUGGAAAAUCACCAAAAAUUGGAGAAAAUUAAUUAGAGUCUCAAAUUUAUAUGCUUAGAAUCCUUAAUGAGUCUAUUUUCAAUAGAAAUCAAUGGGAACAUUAUCCGAGUUUUGUAAUGUGAUAUAAUUAAUUUUUAGUGAAGAGGGGUCAGAACUGUUGGAUAGUGAAACAGGGGAAACUUAAAUGAAUAAACUGUACUAAUUGGCUAAACCAAAAAUUCUUAAAAUUUUAUGGUGGAAUGAUAUGUGAGUCUAGUUUUAGGGAAAAUUUAUGAAUCUUAAUUUUGAGCUCUGUAGCUCGAAUUAUAAAUAAUUGAGUGACUAUGACUCGUGUGAACAGAUUGAUGUGAGCAUUAAUAAGUAAAUUGUGAAAUCGUACUUACAAGAAUGUUAUAUACAUUAAGGAUGUGGAAUGGAGAGGAGGAGGAGGAAAAAUAUAUAUGAAUAUUCAGUUAGCAUGGCUAAUUUGCAUGUUUUAAGCUCAUGGACUAAAUUGAAUAAAAGUAAAACUUUAGAGGGUAAUUUUGUAAAAAUGUCAAAAAUGACUAAAUUGAAGGGAAUAAAUUGUUUUAUUAUCUAAAUUAAUAAAUUAAAUGAAAUUAUCAAUUUAAGAUUGGGUGAAAUUUGAGAAAAUGGUAAAUUACCAAUAUGCCCCUAAAUCUUGGUAUUUCUGCAAUUUAGUCAGGUAGGUUCGGAUACCCUGAAUGAGCAAGUAAAUAUGACAAUUUAAGUAUUGUAUCGUAUUUUAUAUGAUAUUUUGAAUUGAAUAUAUGAAAAGGAUGUUACAUGAAACAUGAAAAUGAAUACUAAAUAAUAUAAAUUAAUUGAAAUUAUUCUGAAAAUUUCGGUAAUGCCUCGUAUCCUAUCUCGGUUUCAGGUACGGGUAUGGGGUAUUACAUUACCAAUAGUGAGAAAGGAUACAAUUUUUUUUAUAUAGAAUUUGUUAAAAUUUUUAAUUUAAGAUUAAAUUGAUAGACUUUGAAAAUAUAUUAGGGCUAAAUUUACAAUUAGAUCAUUAAAAAAGAACAAGUUAGACUUCUAUUACUGAGUUAAUGACAACUAACGAUAUGGUAGAGUGACUAAAAUAUUUAAAUUCGAAAAAUUGAAUGAAUAAAUUAAAAAAAUAAUAAUUAAAUAAUCAAAAUAAAAGUAAAUGCAUAAUUAGAUGAAUAUUCUUAUAAUAUAAGUGAAUAUUGGGAAUAAUGAUAAAAUUCAUCUUCAAAUCAUAAACUAAAUUUAACAUCAAUAUAACUCAAAAGCUAAAAAAGUGUGAGAUUUUUUUGUCUAAAUGCGGAAAAUUAGAGCGUUGUCAAACAAUUGAUAUAUAUGUUUUGUUUUUGAUAAAAAAAAAUAGAAAUUACAGCUUAAAACUAGCAGAAACGAGUAGUUGAGAUUAGAAAUUCAAAUAUAUAUAGAGAGAGAAAAUAUAGGGAAAGUUGUGAUAGUGAGUGAUUUGAGAUUUAUUAGUGCAUAAAUUGUCAAAACAACUGUUAUUUCCACUAACCACUCCUUAAAACAGCUUAACUACCAAUGACCACUAUAUUUAAAGCCAUAUAUAUACUUGUUUGUUCACUUAGCAGCUUAAGAAAAAAAAAAUCAAAUAAUUUUUGCAAUAAAAAAAGAAAUUAUAUAACAAAAGAAAAAAAAACAAAGUCAAAGAAGGCUUCCCCAUUUUUUGAAAAAAGUAAUAAAAAAAUUACAAGUCCUGAUAUUCUAGAUUACUGAUUAAGUGAAAAAAUUAAUUAAACAAUGAGUAGUAAAGAAAUGUCGGCUAUGGAAGAAGGGAUGUUUUUAACCGUGAAGCAAAUUUGCUAUUCAUCUGACGCAGUUAAACUAAUGCAAAAGGUAAUACAAUUUCUCUCUAUUUUCCUUGUUUUUUGUUUUCAGAGAACGAAGUUGGAGAUUACUUAAGAUUUAGGGUACGUAGGUAAUUGCAGAGGUCGUGGGAACAUAUUUCGUGAUAUUUGCAGGAUGUGGUUCAGUGGUGGUGAAUAAGUUAUACGACGGCAUUGUUACAUUUCCUGGGAUUUCUGUAGUUUGGGGUCUCAUUUGUAUGGUCAUGAUUUACUCUGUUGGUCAUAUUUCGGGUGCCCAUUUUAAUCCUGCGGUUACCAUUACUUUCUGCAUUUUCCGUCGUUUUCCUAUGAAACAAGUAAGCUCAUUAAUUUUACUACUUGUUUCACCUGUAUCUGUAUAUAUACAAUUUAUUAUAAUUAUACCAUCUUAAUGAAUGUGGUUGCAUGCGUAGGUGCCUGUUUAUGUAGUGGCACAGCUCCUUGGAUCAAUCCUAGCAAGCGAAACUUUAACUUUGGUUUGGGAUAUACCUCGAGAUGCCUUUUUUGGAACAGUACCAGUUGGACCUGCUUCUCGAUCUCUAGUUCUUGAGAUUAUCAUUUCCUUUCUAUUGAUGUUUGUUGUAUCGGGGGUGGCUACAGAUAGUCGUGCUGUUAGUAAUAUUAUUCGCUACACUAGUCAUAUAAUUUUAUACAUACAUGGACAGGCAGUGUAAGUAUAUGUUUGUGUGUGUGUUUUGUGAAAACAGAUUGGAGAAUUGGCUGGAAUUGCAGUUGGGAUGACAAUAACGUUAAACGUGUUCGUAGUUGGGUAAAUAAUUUUGAUCCCAAAGAGUGAGAUAAUAUGUGAUUGGUUAAUUAUAAGUGGUGUAAAUAAAUUAUGGUUUUUUGUAUGGAUAGACCGGUAUCAGGGGCAUCAAUGAACCCAGCAAGGACACUUGGACCGGCUAUAGUAAUGCGUGUAUACGAUGGAAUCUGGGUUUAUAUGGUUGGACCAAUGCUGGGCACUAUAUUGGGAGGAUUUGUUUAUAAUUUGAUUAGGUUCACUGAUAAACCUCUAAGUGAACUAACCAGAUCAUCUUCUUUCGUGAAGAGCAUGUCCAAAAGCACUGCCACCGCUACUCUUUAGGGUUUUUCUUCAUAGAUAUUUUUUCCAUCACCCAUCUAAUCAGCUGCUAGCAGAGGGGCUAUUUUUUUUUUUUGUAGUUUAAAAAUAAUGUUAUUUUGAGUUUUGAAUUUAAUGUUCUUGUUUCUUUUAAUUAAUAAGUUUGAAUUGAAUGCGUAGCCGACCCUGUACGAGGCAUUGCAAAGACAUGACGGCCCAUGCACGUGAUAAAAUUAGAUAGAUAGAUGCAUUCCUCCCCACAUCCCUAAUCUACCGCUUCCAGUCAUGUGCAUCAAUAUCUAAAACCUUUUACCACCUAUCAUUUCAUCAAAAAGGUUUUUUUUUAUCUGUCGUACACAAUAUUUAAAAUUAUUUUUACUCCCUUCUCAAUUUAUAAAUAUAAAGAUAAUGAGGUUCAACGCACUCAAAUUCGCAUCCUCCUGUAUUGACAACAAUAUUUAUGCUAAUUAAACUAAGACUCAAUUAACGUGAUUUAUUAUUUUUCUAAUUAUAAUAAUUAAUAUAAAUGUAACUGGAAAGUUACAAUUCAACUACUUUCUUACUUACCAAAGUUUAAAUAUAAUCUAUUAUUACAAGCAUUAAAUAAUUAAUUCAACAAUUAAUCAGAAUAAGUAUGAAAAAGAACUUACAUGUAUACAAAACUUAAACUUGAAAUGUCAAAAUUUUCAAAUUUCAACUUUACUAUUAAGCCAAAAUUGAAUUGACGAACUAUUUUUAUUGUUAAGCAUGUAUAUAACGUCAUGGCUUGCAGUUUUUUAAUACACAAGAAGAGGUCUAAAACCUCACAUCAAAAGUCCUAAGGAUUCUACCUUAGAUAAUGAAAUCAAAUCCUCAUUAAAAAAACUUUGUACCAACAAAGGAGGAUAUGUGAACAUCCUCAAACCAACAACCUAAUGCAUCAAAUUUGCAAUACAGCGUAUCGAUUGGUUAGCUCACCUACCAAUAUGCUGAAACUUCACCAACAAAUCUUUCUUGCACAGAUAAAUAAUUUUUUAAUAAUACUAGGAAUUGACUCAUGAAGAUCUCCCUUUUGAAUCAUUUCAACAAGAUCCACACAAUCAUUAUCAACUUGUAGCAUCCUAAAGCCUUUAUCCCAAGUUGCCUUUAAACAAUCAAGGAUGCUCCACAUCUCAACAACAAGGAAAGAAAAAUAACCAAUAUUAUGACCAUAAUCAAUCAGCCAUUGUCCUUUGUGAUCUCACAACAGACCCUCCCCCUCCAAUGAUGCAUUCCCUAAGCCUUCUUUCACUGAGCCAAUCGUAUUGAGUUUAUUUCAUCCUAUACUAGGCGGCUUCCUAAUAUUUACCUUUCUUAUAUGUUUGAACUAUUAAUUCCCAUCUCAAGAGCCUUAGAUAAAAAGAAGCUCUAAGUAAUUAAUUUGUGCUACAACUAUCAUUUAUGCCAGACCCUACUAUAUCUUUUAUGCUACAACUAUCGUUUUGGGAAAUUAAUUUGUUACUUCUCUUUCAAAUUCACCAACAAAUUAUCCCAAACAAGGAGCUCUAAGAAAUGCCUUAAAAAGAAUGAUUAUUGAUGAUGUCGUUAAGAGCACCAAAAAUAUCCUAUUCCCUGUAAAAUAAUGAAAAAGAACAGUAAAGGGGAAGUAGGAUCGAAUCCUCAGGGAUCGGAUUAUACGAAUGCUUGUUUCUCGAAAUCCUGGACAGAAUCGUGCCCAAGAAAACCUGCGUGACAGAAAAAAAAUAAAAAUAUAACAGAAUUAAAGAUUUGAUUUGGAAAAAAUAAAAACAGAAUCUAAACUGAAAUUGUGAUUACGAAAAUAAUAAAAAUAAUAAAGAGAGUUGAAGGAAAAGAAAUUCUUAUUGGUAGAUUCCAGCCUCCAGUUGUCUCAUUCUGCCUUGGGUUCAAUCAUCGGCUUUUAAAUGACCCUUCUCAACUCAAGUAAGCCAGUUAUAGUAGAAGAGAAUGCCUACGACCACCAGCUCCAAAGAUUAGACUUACGAUUUUUAAGGAACCUGACUCUAGCCAGUAAUCUAUGCUAGAUCAAUGCUUCUCAAUGGCGAAUCCUACGCCAUUUCGUCUCUUUGGCUUGCCAACCUCUGACACAGUAAGUUAACGAACCGACUAUGCAAUCCUUCCAAAACAUACAAAGCAGCCGCCUUUGCAUAUGCUGAAAAGCUUACUUCUUAAGGGCCAUGGACGGAAGCGUCAGCCCGUAGUGCGGAGAAACGAUGAAUACUUGGCGAGAAGGCUAAGUACAGAUUCUAGGCCUCAAGAACCCUUUUAGGGGAAUAUUGAUAACUUUCGGCUAGAUAGGUUUUAGUGGCUCAUAAUAAUGGUGGAAAAAGAAAUAAAUAUAAAAAUGGAAAAGUGAAUUUUAUUGAAAGAAAAUAUGAAGAAACAAAAGCCUAGACUUUCAGGGGGAGAGUGUUUACAGAAAAAGAUGAACACCAAAUAGAGUCACUUCACCCCCUAUUUAUAGUGCUAGGGAGAUAGUCUAAUUUAACUUAAAUUCUAAAAAAAUAAAUACAUUUAAUUAAAGAUAAUUAAAGAUAAUUAAAAUAAAAUCCUAAAAUUAAAUAAUCCUAAUAAUUAUCUUAAUAUUAAUUAUCCUAAUAUAAAUAAAAAGGAGUCUUAUAAAAUAAAAUCUCUUCUUUUUGCAUUUUUAGUCCUUGUGUCUUCCAUGCUCGCACUUUUGGCACAAUCUUUUUCCUGUGUCGCAUAUCAGCCCAUUAUGUCUCCAAAUUUGCACUUUUGUCCCUUAAUUUUGCUUUUUCCUCUAAAUGAGUCCCUAAUCGAUAAAAAGACAUAAAUAGCUCAAAUUAGUAGGAUCAAGCUCAGAAUAAACACAUGAUUAAUACAUAAAAAUACGUUAUUCUAGAGCAUUAUCAAUUAUCAACAUUCGAAAUAUUAAAGAUAAGCGACAUACGAGCAUCUUGACUAUAAAAAUCCUCUCUGCCUUAAGCUAAUAUCAGACUAUCCCAAACUCUUCUAACAAAGAAGUAAUUUCGUAGAGCAUGAACCACACUCUUUACCAUCAUCCUACAUAAAGAGCAAACUAGAUCAUCAGGCAUACUCCGUCUACAUCAUAGUUUGUUGGUCAAAAUAUGACCAUUGAGCACAAACCAGAAGAAGUUUCUCACUCUCCAUGAAGCUAUAAACUUUCAAACCAUGGACCAGAUUAUAUCAUUGGAGUUCUAGUUUUCACUUGCUAGAGUUUUAUAAGCAUUCGUAACCAAAAAGGAUCCAUUCGAUGACCAUUGCUAGUCACAUCUAUCAUUGAUAGCAAAGUCUCUAGGAGGGAAUAUAUGUACCACAUGAGGCAAAAUAGAUUGUGAUAAGAACGAGGCAACAUUAGCUUAACUCCAAUUAUCUUGCUCGUCAACCAUUUCUCUAACUUUAUAAUAUGGAAAAGACACUACAACUUGAUUUGUACGGUUAAUUAAAUAACCUAUUUUCGAGAUCUAUACAUAUGCUAAGAUAUUAAUAUUACUCUAAACUGAAGAAGGGUGAAAUUUCAAGCUAGUUCAAAGGAAUAGUGAUUUUUUUCUACUAGCAUAUUUUUUUUUUGUUUACUAAUGCAGUACAAAUAUAUGAAUGUGUUAAUUUAGAAUCAAUCAAAACAUGUACAAUAACAUCAAAAAGGGAAAAUGUACUAUCUAUGACGUAAGGAGUUGUAGCAUCCUCUUUGGCUCAUAUGGCAUAAGCUAUAGCAGGUGCACGAGCUUCAAAUCUCACGAUUGUAUCUCUAGUUCCACCUUGACUAGCUCCAAUAUUACUACCAGAUCCUAAUAUUUCCGUCAAUAUACACUUGUAAUUUUUCGAACUAAUUGGUUAAUAAAAACAAAUUUAUUGAUUACGAUUAAUAUACUUUUUACUAUUGUCCUCAAAUGAUUUUUUUCACGCAAAACAAAAUGGAAGCAAAUGUUUCUCAUUGGUUGUCUAAUGUUUAACUAAUACUAAGUGGUAUUACGUGGUCGGAUCGUAAUACAAAAAGACAAAUUGUAUUAGUAGACAAACCUAAAUAUAUCUUUAGUCUAAUUCGAAAUGAGCAAAUCGAUGUCUUGUCUUGGGCAUUGGAGCGGAUGACUCCCAAAAGAUAGAGAAAUAGAUGUGACUAAUUGGACUGACAGUAAAUUGGACAGGACCCAAGCAGAAUAGAUCUUGAAUCCGUUUAUAGAUUUAUUCACUUGUGACAUUCAUAGUAUGGCAUACCUAAAUCUUGAGUGGAUGGCGGGCUAUAUAUCGUGACUCCUAUACUUUGAUUCAAAAGUUUGAGUUCAAAUAGAUAAGGAAUCGAAAGUUGGCGCGUUAGGUGUAUGAUUUCUGUAGUAUGUACCGUCAUACACAAAAGUGGAAUUCAUAACCCAAAACAUGGGUAAAUGAUAUUCUUUCAUUAGCAUUACAUGGUUGAUGAAAAGUAAGCGUGAUCACAGGUCAUCCGUUUUUGUGAUGAAUAACUUGAUCACUAAUUGAUAAUGAUUCACUUUUCAUGAAGGAAGAUGAAAUGGUUACCAUAAGAUAAAAUAGAAUCAUAUUAUCCAAAAUAGAUCAAUGAUAUUUAUUAGGGUAACACACUAAUGACAAGGUCAUUGACGAGCACUAAAUAGUUACUUUCGUAAUGUUAUGUCGUUAGGAAGAGCUCAAUCAUGAUACUAUAGUGGAAUGAUUUCGUGACUAAAUGAGUUUAUAAUUAAUAUGCGAAAAGUCAAACUUAAUUAUAAAUCAUUUGGGCCUCAACUACAUAUGCCCAAGCGGUUCCUUCACUAGCUCGUUGAAACUAGAAAUGAAUUGUGUGUUUGACUAAAAAUGAAUGAAAUGAAUAGAAAAAGAGAAAUGGGAAACAUUCAAGAAUAAUUAUGGUUUUCUCUAAAAUGGAGAAAUAGAAUCAUUUGGAAAUGAAUGUAAGUUUCAAAAAAUGGAAAUGGAAAUUUGCAAUCCUAUAUAGGAUUACUUAAAAAAUGAUAGAAGAAUGAGUUUGUGUUUUUGGACUGUUUUCAAACCUGAAAAUGAAAGUAAACCAUUCAGUCAUAGUGAACAUGUUGAUUUGUGACAUUGAAUGAAUUUUCUCGAAAUUUUAUCAGGGGUAAAAUCAUCAAAAUUUUACCAAAGACAAAAUCGUUAAAAUUUUACUCGAGUAAAAUUAGGAUGAGAAAAUUAUUUAAUAUGUAAAUAUUAAAUUUAAUUUUAGGAAAUAGAAAACUAAAUCGGGUUGGAUCACAUUAUAGAGCAUUGGGUUAAAAAGGCUCAGGAAGUACUUCUAAUUGGACCCGAUGUGAGAGAGACCCAAACCGCUCAUAUAACAUGAAAGGGGCAACAACCCUAGUAGAAAUACAAGAGUGAAUCGUUCACCCCUCCCCUACUCUAAGUAGGAUGUUGUUUUUCUAUUUAAAUUAAACAUCUAAAACUCUACAAAAGGUUCUACCUUCUCUUUUUAUAAAUAGAUGGCAUUGGUAGAGCUGUUAACAAAUUUUUGAGAUAUUGUUAUUCUGCCAAAAAAAUAGAGAAAUUUUAUUCUCAACUUAUAAACAUAUUUUUCAAAAUAACAAUUUUACCGGUUCCUAUUAAAGAAGAGAUAAUUUUCAUUUUCAACCCAAAAGGAAAACUUUUUCUAAUUCUGUGUUUUGAUUCAAUUGGUUUGAGUUCACACUCGAAGCAGUUCGUGGUAUGAGAAUAAUGGAGAAAAUCGUUUUGUUGAAAGCUCUAAAACAUCAAGAAUCCGUUUAUCCAAAAACACAAAGUACGAAUUCGGUUAAGGUUUAUUGCUAUAAAUAUCACAAAUAGGGUCGGUUUUAAAAUUUUUAAUUUUCUACUAUGCAAGAAAACAGUUUUCAAAUCGGGUUCUUUUCUAACAAUCCUAAUCUUCUACCCCUUUGUGGAGUUGUCAUCAGUUUAACACUCUUUUUUUGCUUUGUUCUGGCCUAUUCGGGCAAUCGCAUCUCAAAUGUUCUUUGGAGCCGCACAGGUGUCUCGAAAUUAUUCUAUUGAUGUGAAAGUAUACACAAUCAUUGACAAGUAGUAAAGUAGUAAUUAAGAGUUAUCGUUUCCAUAGAAAUUGUUUAUGCAAAUCAAGUAUUGCAAAAUUAAUAUUUAGAAAAUUGCUCAGUGAUGAAAAUAAAUUAAAUUUUGAUAGAAUUCUAAUUUAUACUAAAACUAUCCUAAGUAUAUUUAUAAUUAAAAUAAACAAUGAGAGAAAUACAUAUGCAAGUUUUAAAAGCAAUCACAAUAACAUGCAUGUGUUGGAAUAAUUUUCCUUCCUAACUUAGAAUUAUUUAAAUAAUGUUAAGAGAUGUUACAUAGAUUUUGUGGCAUAUUGAUAAUUUACUAACCCUAAUUUUACGAGUGCUUGGCUUGUCUCAAAGACCUAAGCUUAACCUUUUAGUUUGCAUAUUUCUAUGUCUAUUCUGACUUCAAGAUUACCUUUCCAAGUAUCGCCUAAAGAAUCACACUUAUUAAAAUAUUAAGUUUUUCUAGCAUAUGUCUAUGUCAAUUAACUUAGUGUUUUAAUUCUAUACUAAAAAUAGUUUAAUCACAUAAAUAAUAGGGUUAUGCAAGGUAAUAAAGUUUUUUUGAUAUUAUUACUAAUUUGACCUAAUUUCAUCAUAAAAAGAUCAAACGUGCACAAUCCAAAUAUUGUGUCAAUUAAUUACAAUCUGGUUCUAAUUUAAUAAUUCAUUCAAUUGCAUCCUUACAUUUAUAAUGAACGAAUAACAUGUUCAUGGUUGUGUCUAAAUGAAUAAAUAGAUCAAAUGCACAGUACACCUCUUAACAAAAUUAAAUAAUCUAAUAUAUGAUAUUUAAAUAAUUCUAACACCAACAAAAUUAAGCAACCAUGAUUAUAUUAAAACCAGAAAACUUAAUUACAAUCAUGUUUCUUGAAUUGAACAAAAAUAAAAGAUUGAUUGGAUAAGAAAUGCUAAGUCAUUUCCGGUGGUUCUCUAAGGCACAACUUACUUUUCUCCUCCUUUGUUUUUCGCUUCUUACCAUGACAACCAAGCUCAAAACUCCUAAUCUGGUCGAAUGGGGCUGCUCUCAAAGUCUUACAAACUCUCUCACAGAAAAUGGAAAACGAAAAGUUAAAAGAGAGAAGAGAUGGUGAGUGCGAGAUGAACGAAAUAGGUGAAUGGUUAGAGGUAUUUAUACUUGUGAGGAGCCCCUUAAGUUUACUAAAACCAGCAUGUUAAUCCCCCUUUUUUCUCUCAUGCAUAGUCAACCCUUUGAGUUGAACAGUCAUAUAGGGAAGUUGUUGUGGCUGAUUUGUGAUUUUUUACAAGUCUUAGGUGCCUAAUUUAAUUAUUUUAUGGGCGGUUGGGCUUCCAUAGCCAAAUUGGGCUCUUUUCUCCCUAUAUAGAUGGUUUGGGCUUCAAAUUCAACAGCAGGCUUGUCUACUUUAGUGAUCCAAUUACGAGUUGGGUUAAAUUGAAUUUUGAAGUCCAAUAAAUAAUUUUAAGACGUCCCAUGCUAAUCAGCCAUCAACCCAUGUCUACAUGGCCUUUGUUGCAGGAAAUGUUAUAGCAUCGAACAUCGAACAAGUGAGCUUCAAGACUAAACUUUUUCCUAUUGCACCAAACGACGUCAAACUAGAAAAAAAUAUGUCAAAUUAGCAUGUAAAUAAGUAAGAUUACAAAUUUAUCUUUAAACUUGUCCAACUUUACAAAUUUGUAAUAAAACUACAAGUUUUUUUUUUGGUUAAAAUACUCAAUAUUUGCAUGAUUUAUUAGUCAGAAGGUGUUAUAAUGCUUAUAUAAUUUUGAGUUAUCAACAGGAAACAAGCUCCAUUCUUCAGUCUACACUCACCACUGUGGUUUCAUCCACAGUGUCCACAAAUUGGUCUAUCUAUAUUAUGAACACUACCAACAUUUGCCAUUGAGGUAGUCUAAACUGUCAAAUUACUCGGCCUUGGUUCGUUUCUCCCAAAAAUCCCUAACGGGAUAGAGAAUCGACUAUGAACAUCCCUUGACCUUUUUGGUGGAGGAUUCGGGAAAGAUUUAAAUGUGCCCUGUUUAUCAGAAUCCCAAAGCUUAGAUUUAGCUUGCUUUUUUUUCAUUGCGCAUGUCUUCCAUCUUCUAAUCCCGCUUUGAUAGAACAAUAAAUUCUUUCAAUUCUAAGGCUCCCACCAAAAUACGUAUGUCUUCAUUCAAUCCCCAUUCAAAACGAGUACACAUUUUGGCUUUAGUAGGCACAAUAUUUUUAGCAUACUUACUGAUACGGAUGAAUUCACGUUCAUACUCAACCACAAACAUGUCUUCAUGUUUCAGUUCUAUAAAUUCUAUCUUUUUCUCCUUGAAAUGCAAUCGGAUAACAUAUUUCUUUUUGAACUUGGUAUGAAAGAAAUAUUAAGUUAUUUUAUCUUUAGGAACAACAUAUAUUACCAUCGUCCAACACUAGUAUACUUCUUCUUUCAGUAAUGAUACAAUGAAUUUCAAACCGUCUUCUAGAGUACACAUCAUUUCAACCAAAAUCUUCAAAGUAAUUUCCAACUAAUAUUCAACUUUCGUUAGAUCGCCAUCCUUUUGCCUCUAAACUCUUCUACCCCACAUUUUUUAAUUUUAUCACUCAUGGAUCGGUUAACAUCUAUUGUAUUAAGGUUUUGAGGAUGAUGGGGUGCCACAAGAAGCACGAUCGGGGGAGGAGGAUGCAUUUAGGGUUGCGAAGUUAAAGGAGUAGCUUUCGCAAACUAGAAUGCAUUUGACAUUACAAAAAACACACUGAAAUUUAACAUGGCAUCCUUGGGCAUCCUUGUAAUUUCAUAUGCAAUUCAACAAUACAACAAAUAAGUUAACUCUCUUGCAUAUCAAGAACUUAUAAUACCAAUCACAUAUACAUGUACAACAAUCCAAUAUAGCAUCAUAUAUCAUCUAAUUCAUAUUCAAUUUGAAAACAUAUAUAAUUCGAUCCAUAUUCAAAUCAAUUCAAUAAUUUCAUCUCCAUUAGGUUAUCGUUUUCUCGCCUUAGUGGACCUUAAUAAAUCAAAGUUAGAUAUUGAUGAUCGUUUUAUGAUUCACUAAACUAGACUACGAUCACUACUAAGGCAAGCGCACCUACCGAAUGGUAGUAUAGUUACGGUGAGUCGGGAAUAUCGUAUCCACGAGGACUAAAAGUACUAGUAAUAAUUAUUUUUCUAUUAUUUAGCCUAUAAUUAAAAGGAUUUGUUUUUAAUUUAAAUUUAACUAAAAUAAUUAACUAAUGAACGCGACAGAGAGUGAAGAAAAUAAUCGAAUAAACCAAUAGAAAAGACAAUACCCAGGAAAGAAUCUACCUAAACUUCACUUAUUAUUCUGACUCUGAAUCAAACGAUUUAUUCACUUGUCUUGAUCCGUAGAAAUCCCUAAAUUAUGUUAAUAUCUAUUUUGAGACUAAGAACAACUGACUCUAGGUUGAUUAAUUGAAAUCUCUUUCUAAUUAAAACCCCUAUCGUCGCAUUAACUCGAUCUAUGGAUUCCCCUAUUAGAUUUGACUCUAAUCCGGCAGAUUUAUGUCGUCCUAUCUCUAGGAUUGCAUGCAACUCCACUUAAUUAUGCUAGAUCUACUCUUAAACAGGGAAUUUUGCUCCACUGAAUAAGCACAUCAAACUUGGAUUAAUAUCCUGAAAAUAUUAAGGAAAGAAUUAAGAACAAGAACAAGUAUUUAUCGUGUAAUUCAAAUAAUUAAAUAAUAAGAUUCAUCAUAGGUUUCAUCCUCCCUAGGUAUUUAGGGAGUUUAGUUCAUAAUGUAAUAGGAAAACAUCUCAAAAUUAGGAAAAUAACAAAACAUAAAGAAACCCAAAAAAUUUGAGAGAAAUUGGAGGGAGAUAUUCAGUCUUGAAAGAGGUCCUACUUCCGAGCUGAAUCCGUUAGCAUUCUUCGAGUAAUUCCUGUGUUCCACUUUGCGUGUCCCCUUUAGGUCUACUUCUAGUGUGUUUAUAUAGAUUUUAGAAUGCCCAGAAACCCUAAAAAUUAGCUUUUUUCACGUGUUUGGGAAAUCGGGAGCGAAAUCGACACGGGCUAGCACAUGGGCGUGUGGCUAGCCCGUGUGGUAAUGGUCUUGGCCGUGUGAAUCUUUAAAUCAGCACAUUUUGUCAGUUUUUGGCUCAUUUUCUGCUCCUUUUGUUUCCCUAUGCUCUCCUAAGUAUAAAGCAUGAAAUUAAAGGAUUAAGAGCAUCUAAUUCACUAAAUUAUAUAAUAAAUCAACCAAAAAUAUGCUAAGUAUGGGAUUAAAAUGUGUUAUUUUUAUGGUUUAUCAACUAUAGUGCUCACACAAUCUGAUUGUGAUUAGGAGUUCUUACACAAGUUGACAUUUAAAGAUUUUCCCACACAAGGUUACAUUUAUAAAUUGAGAAUCCAAAAACAAAUGUUGGAUCUCGUAUAACCAUGAAAAUCCAUGAUUGAUUUCAUAUUAGACCCUAAUGGUAUGCCAUACAUAUCAUAAUCAUUACUAAGCUCAAAAGGGCUUUGUUACUGUAAUCAUAUCAUUCCGAUCCCUUUAUCAGCAUAUAUAUAUCAUUUCAAUCAUAUAAACUUUCCAUAUUCAUUUCGGCGCCUCCAUAUUUUGCAAUUUAGUCCAUUUGAUGCCAAAAUCAUUACCAUCACAUUCAUACAAACUAAUAAGAAAAAAAAAUACAAUUCAAUCAUAACAUGAAUAAAAAAAUAAGUAUCAUAUGAACUUACUUGGCAAAAUAGCAAUGAAAAAUUCUUUAAGGACUAAUCAGUAAUUUUGCCUUUUUCCCGAUUAUCCUUGGUUUAGUUCAAUUCCUGAUCUAUACAAUAAUUUAGUUUAUCUAUCAAUACAAAACAUUUUAUAAUAUCCUAUUAUAUGCAUGAAUCAAUUCAAUUUUAAUUUUUGAAUGCCUCUAAAAUUUUACAUUUUAUUCAAUUUAGUCCCUAAAACCAAAAUUGCAAUAUCUUUUAAAUUUGAGCUUCGAUUUCAAAACCAAUCUCAAUUACAUCCUUUUAGAACCCUCUACUAUCAAUAAUUAUGAAAUUUCACAUCAAAUUCAAACUUUAUACACUUUAGUCCCUAUGUUAAAAAACUAUCAAUUAAACUUUACAACCUAAUCCUUUUUCACUUCCAAGCUUAAAAUCUAAUAAUUUAACAAUAAAUUAUUCAAGAAAAAUCAGUGUAAACUUUUGAAAAAUUUAACAAAUUUACAAAUUGGUACAUAUGCUUGCUAAAUUAAAUUAUCAUGACCUAAAAACAUAAAAAUUACAAGAAAAUGACUAAAUUGAACUAACCAAUUAAUAAUUAAAACUUUGAAGCUUUGAAACCCUAUAUUUCUCUUCUUAUUUUGGUGGAGAAGAACAAAGAAGAUGAUCAUUUUUUUUUAGUUUUUACACUUUGUUUUAAACAUAAUUAAUUAGGAUUAAUUUAAUUAAACAUUGAUUAAUAAAACCUUAAGCUUAGUUAACUCAAGUGAGUGAAUUCCAACCUCAUCCACCAUCGUUUGGCCAGUUAGGAAUGGCCCAAUUUCUCAUUUGGUCCUUAGGUUAAUUAAAAAUCUAUAGUAAUAAACUUUUACAAUUUAGUCAUUAUAACUUAAUUAACUAUCAUUUUGAAAAAAUUAAUGGACCAAAAUUUAAUAAAAUUUAAUAAUAAAUUCAUAAAUAUUAAUAAUUAAUAUUUAUGGACUCGAACAUCAGAAAUAGGAAACCAUUGUUUCUGACACCAUUGAAAAACGAGUUGUUACAAAUGUACACCACAAUUUUAGCAACCCUCAUUUAGAUUUGUUAUCCAUUUUUGUAAUCUACCAUAAUAACAUUACUACUUGUUGAACCAAUUGCCCAUAAAAUGCUUCUUUUUUAUAUUGCUCUUGACAGCCCAAGUAAUUGGACCCAAGCAAUAAUUUUUAUCGGGUAGGCCUGAGAAGUAGAAAACUCAAGUGUCCAUGGUAGGAUAGUUAGAUGCAGCCUAAAAACCACCCAUGGUCCCUCUGAAAGGACUUUAUUAUAAUCAUCCUUGGAUUUGAACUUCAUCAUAUGGUAAUUUUUUUAUACCUCAUAAGAUGCAUAAUUUUUGUUGGUUUCCAAAAGGUAAAAAAUUUCUUCUGCGGGGCAUUAAGACUGAUUCUUCUUCCCAAAAGUUUUAUCACCACUGUCAGUAUGUACUUUGGACUACCAAAGAGUGAACCCUUUCAGAGAAACAAAUCAAAUUCAUGCCAACUUCAAUUUUAAUGAACACAUCUUCAUCCAACAAUUCUAUGUCAUCAUCAUCUUGCCCAACUUGCUCUUCAUUCUCAUCCUCCUCCUCACCAUUCAUGAACAUAUCUUUGAAAAAGACUCUACCACCACCACCACUAAGGGUGUAAAUGAGACACUGGUACUCGCAAGCUACUCGAGUUCAAUUUGAAAAAAUUUUGAAUUCGAUUCAAUAAUUGUCAAGCUAAGCUUGAGCAGCUUGAGCUAUCGAUUGAGCUGAAUUCGAACUUAGUAAUACUUGACUUGAACGACUCGUGAGCCUUAUCAAAAUUUUUGAAUUUUUAUAUUAUUAAAUUACAUUAUUGUGAUUAAUGUAUUACUAACCCUAAGCUUAACUAUUGAGCUCAAGUUUGAACUUGAUUACAAAAAUUGGUAAAAAGCUUAAUCGAGCUUGAAAUCUAGUAGCUCGACUACAUCUUGAGCUGAGUAUUGAAAUCUAAAUUUCGAGUCAAGCUUGAGCUCGAGCUUGGCAAUAUUCAAGCUCGGCUCAGAUCAGCUCCUAACCACCACCAACUUCUAUAGGUGUACCACCUUCAUAUGAUGAAUCCUCUUCCUAUAACUAGACUUUUUUCGUAGCCCUACCAACCACCCCUCCCUUACAUCGUGGGAUUAAGCAUUGGAUCCUUUAUGCCAUCAUUUCCAAGAUAGAACUCCAUAAAUUAUCUUACUUUAAGAUAAUUUUUACUUUUUUUUAACAAAGAUCUUAGUUUGUUAAUGGACAAUCUAUAUGCUAAACCACCUUUGGAAAAAUAUAUUAAAAUGGCAUAAGUUCUAAAUUAAAAUUAUAAUAAUUUACAAAAUAAAGAUAAAACUCCUAUUUAACAUGGUAUUUAAAUAUUUUAUUGUUAAAUAUUCAUUUAUUAGAAAAAAAAUCAUUACUUUCAUAAUUAGAUUACUUCUUUCCUAGUGUUUUUUUUUUAUGUUUUCCACUCAGCAAAAUCUCGAAGUAUUAUAAGAAAACAUAUCUAUUCUUUUAUAUAAGAAAGGAUAUCUAAUUUUUUUUAAGAAAAUCAAUAUCGUACUAACUAAAGUAGCUUUUCUUUAUAUUUUAUUUUGUAAAUUUAUUAUAAUUAAAAUUUAUGUCAUUACAUGAAGAAUUAAUGUUGUGAGGUGUCUUUGCAUUUACCGAACUCUUUGCAGGCACUUAGAAAGACAAUCAACGAGCAAUCGAAGAAGGUCCAAAACAGACCCGACAUCAUGACGAGGAGCGUUGGGACAAUGUGAAAAUGUUUGAAACAGCGAAGCAGAGAUGACAUCGCAACGAGGCGAUUCUCGACGUGACGAAGACGGACAGCAUCACAACAAGAAGUGUUGGGGUGUUGCGAUAUGGUGACGUGUUCCCACAUAAAUUGCAUUUCUUCUCCUAGUUAUACUCUAAUAUCUUUUUCCACUUAAACUGUGAUUACUCUAGGGAUAUUUUAAUCAGAUACGCCCACGAAUUUCAGCAUAUAAAUAAGCUUUUAGCAACCUACAAAAGAGAGUUUAAGGGGGAAAUUUAUUUUUAGCCUGAGAGCUUUGUAUUUUUUAGGAUGCGAGGGUUUGUUUUAAAUUUUUUCUAUCUUGUACUCUUCUUCGGUUAUUUGUAGCUUUUAGUGAAGUUUUUUUUUUACCCGUGGUUUUUUAUCCUCGUUAGAGGAGUUUUUCCAUAUAAAUAUUUGUAUCCAAUUUUCUUUAUUCAUUCUUAUUCGUUGCUUAAUUUAGAUUUAUCUCCAACAAAUAUCAUUAAAUCUAUAAUAAAAAUAAAUUUAUUCAAUCAAAUAUUAAUAAAUAUAAGGAUCCAGAAGAGAGAACAAAUUACAUUACUAGUUUAGCUUGCAACCCCUACUAGAUUAAAAAAUAAACUUCCAAUUGUUAUUUUUUCCGAUAGGCAGAUCACCCACAAUAUCUAAUUGAUCCCAAUUUUCCGAUAGGAUAAUAAUCCAUAUAUCUCUAUUAUCACAAAAUUUUUAAUUGAAUUAAUUGGAUUUAUUAAUCAAGUUUCAAUUUCAUUUGGUAAUUAUUAAAAUUUCGUUCUUUUUUAUAAAAUAAUUUAUACUAUUAUGAUGUGAUUUGAUUUGAAUAAAGGGCACAUUAAAUACUAAAUAUGUAAUUUUAUAAUUUUAAUUAAAAUAUCAAUUGAUUUUUAUGUUAUAUAUAUUUCUAUAUAAAGAUUAAAAAGCUUUGAUUUAAUGAGAAUAUUAAAAUGAUUAUAAAUCUCAUUUAUAUUAAUUAAAAUUUUUAACUAUAUAUUAUCUUAUUUUUAAAAGGUUUUGUUAUGUUCUUAUGAUCAUCAACUCGAGAACUCGAUAAGAUUUAGGUCACUCACCCGUGUCUCGAAAGUUUGUAAGGGAAGUUUGCUGUCUUAGUUUGCACAUGUCACUUGGUGCUCGCAAAAGGAGCUCGUUGUCUCAGCUCACAUAUAUCUAAGAAGCUUGCAUGUGGGGCAACGAAGUCUAGCAAAUAGCCUAGAAUAGUACACGUGUGUUUAUAAACACUAAUCAUGUAUAUAAAUAUUUGAUUGUCCCCCUUUAAUAAAACACAACAAAAAAAUUACUCAUCAAGUUUAUAUAUUAUUUAUACUACAAUUAAAUGGAUUAAAAUGAUUUUAUUCUAAUUUAAAAAAAAACAUAUAUUGAAUAAAUAGCCACAUGAUGAUGAAUUUUUUUAAUAAAUGUAUAAUGGAAAUUAAACUUAAAACACUAUAAAUUGAUUUCGAUUUUAUUAUUUCAAAAAAAGUAUUAUUUAUUUUUUACAUGAAAAAUUGUACAUAAACAGUGGAUUAAUCUUAUUAAUCUCUUAAAAAUUAUAAAAUAAAAUAAGCUUUAAGUAACUUAAGAAAAAAAUGUUUUAAGUAUUCUCGGACUUCAGAGACCCUUUUAUGGGAAAAGAGUACAACAGUGAUCAUAAGUCGUAAAAGCAAUGCUGGGAAAGUCAACAACAGAUAAAUGAAGCUCAAACGUGGGACAUUACCCAACACUUGCAGUACCAACCAUACCAGAAAACGGUGUCGUUCCCAAUCCGAAUGCGAGCUUUCUCUAGAUCUUCUUCCUCCUCUGAUCCAUAAUCACAGCCGUCCGAUUAUAAGUGCGGUGAUGAUCUGAUGAGAACAAGACAAAAAGGACAACCAACCCCACAUGAUAAAAGGUUUUUUUUAUUAUUAUUACGUUCACAAACUUUCUACUCUUAACACUAUACACAAACAAAUUCACAAUAUUUAUUCCUUUUUUUAGAAAGAUCUGAAAAGAAACGAGAAAAAAAAAAAACCUUGGAGCUUUGGCUUUUUCUGUUUUUGGCGUGUUACUCGCAAAGCACUUUUAGUUAAGAUUCAUGUGUUACUGUUGAAGUUGUGAAGAAAUGUGUUUUGUUUUUAAUUUGAUUGACUUGAUCCGUUUGAUACGCUGAGGAUGUAGCUUACUCACUCUUGAAUUUUGAGGUAACUGCUGCGAAUGGCGGGAGAGUUUCAAGAGCCUUUCAACAUUAGUUUUCUGGUAAAUUUUCUUGCUCUUUCUUUCCUUUUGGUUAGGUGUUUGGAAUUUCUAUUAUGUGUUUCAUCAAUGGAAUUAUAUUUGUCAACUGGGUAAUUGUUGUAGUGCUUACUGAAUAUUGUGAAACCGGUUUAUGUUUAGAAAUGGUGGAACCUCAAUUUGUUUUUAACUAAUGAAAUUUUAAUCUCAUUGAUGAAGUUUAAAACAAGGAAAAAAAAAUUUGUAGUGGUUGGUUCACUUCAUUUGCAAAACGAACUUACUUCAUGUUCAUAGUUUGUACAUAUAUAUCCCCUUUUGGAUGACUCAAGUUCAUUUACUUGCUAUUUAGGUUUCAGUUUCUCUUAGUCCAUAUCUUGAUUAGUUCUAGUUUGAUCAUGAUCCCUGUUUCCUAUCUCAGUUUUGAUGAUAUUAUUGAAUAAAAUGUCAUGUAUACACAAAAGCAUACAUAAUGUAUCUCAGACAAAGAAAUGGAAUUGUUCUUAGGAGAUGGUAUGUAUGUUAGCCAUUAGUUUUGACAUUAACUUAUAAUUAUAGUAUUAGAUAUGUUAGUUAUUCUUUUUCAAACUUCAAAUUAUCUAUGGAACCACUUUUGUGCCAUUAGAAAUGUCUACUAUAUUAUUUUUGAAAAGCUGAAAAUCUACAGAAGAUUGUCUUUAGCUAUAAAGGCUUACGGUAUCUCAAGUACCUCUACCAAUGGGUAUUUAAGUGCUGGUGAAUUUUGAUCUUGCUAACCAUUUUUAUGAGUUUCUGAUCCAUGAACUGGCUCAUAAAAUACGAUUUACUUUAUUCUCUGAUAACUUGUCCACCUAUUUGAUUUAUUCUAACUCCACAUUCUUUUCAAUCUUGGCAGACAGAAUCUUUGCAUUCUGGUUCUAUAUCAUUUGGCAGAUUUGAAAAUGAACCCUUAGCUUGGGAAAGGAGAUCCUCUUUCUCACACAAUAGAUAUCUUGAAGAGGUUGAGAAAUUCUCGAAACCAGGUUCAGUUAUAGAGAAGAAAGCUUACUUUGAAGCUCACUUCAGGAAGAAGGCACUUCUUCUCCAAGGUUCAUCUGAGGGCCAAACUGGAGGUGAAGAUCAAACCUGUGAGAAUGAUGCCGUGGAGAAUGAGGGUUACAGAGAAUACCAAUUGGUUGAAAAUCAUGCUGCUGAGAACAAGCAUUCUGAAGAAGGAUCUGAUAGUUUAAGUAAAGAUAGCCAUUGCGAUCAUUUUGGUGAGAAUGGCUUGGAUAAUGCAGAUUAUAGGGAAGAUUUUUGUUGUGGAAAUGGAAAUGAAGGGAACCAGUCUGGUGAUGCAAAUGAAGGUAGCCUUUGUGCUCACAUUGACAAUGGUCUUGAAGAUUCAAAAUAUCAUACUGAGGGUGCAUUGAUUGAAUGUGGACUAGAAUAUCCUGGAGGUUUAUAUACUUAUGAAACUCAUGUUUUAGUCCCUAGAGAUGUUAAACCUGAGGAGUCUCCUGAAAGUGAAAUUGGAUGCGAUACACCACUUUUUAGCAACGAUAAGCCAGAUAAAAAAGUAGAGGAAAACCAUGAUGACAAUGCAGUUAGUAUUGAUGAAUCAUUUAAGUCCAAGAAUCCAUCUCCCUGUAGUGGAACCACUGGAGAAGUUGAUCCUCCUAAGUUAGAGAUUCGGCAAAAUCAUUCUCCUAAGGUAUGGGUUUAUAUUCAUUCUAGUUCUUGUUGGUUUCUGGAAAGUAACAUUCACUGUAGUAGCCAGAAACUGGAUCUCACAUUGUUUUCUGAUGUGAUGCCUGCAUUUCUUUUUGUCUUGUGUUUACAUCCUUGUAGCUUAUACUUUUUAUUUUUUAAUUGUAGUUGAAGCCUGCUAUUGUAAAAGCAACUAAACCGAGGUUGAAGUCUCCAAGUCCUGAUCAUUCCCGGAAAAAUAUUUCUUCUGAUCCUUCAAAAGUAGCUGCAAGGAUUCUAGAAAGAAAGGAAAAAGAGAUCAAUAGGAGAACAAAAGCAGAAAAUUUACCAUUGCGAACUGCCACUCCAACUAGACGUCUAAUGCACAGAUCUCCAAACAAAGAGGUGAAAAUUUUGGACUUAGACUUGAAAGUUAAUGAGAAAAGGCGACCUUUGUAUUGUCUAGUUUUUAUUCUUUGUUAAGAAUUCUUGUUAGACUUCAUACUGCCAUCUGAAUUUCCUUGGUCUUUCUUGUCCAGGAUUCUGAAAGAGAUAAUGCAAAAUUAAACACUGAGCAUAGAAGGUACUUACUAUUUCUUGUAUUUUAAGAAUAUACAUGUUUCAUUUGUGAGGGUGGUUCAAAAGGUUAUUUCAUUCUUCUUACAGCGAAAAAGGAGCAAUGGCGAAGAGAGUAAUUGAAGCUCGUCCUUCUUUAUCUAAGAAGAUUGAACCUGUUGCUCACCAGACACCAAAUAGGUCUGUAGCAACAUUAUGGACACUGCUUUAUGUUAUCAAAAUUUUGACUUUCAACCUUAUUGUAGCAUAUUCUGUUAUGUAGGCUUAAGCAGACUAUCAGUUCAACUAAGGCAGAUGUAAAGUUAAGUGCUGGAGCAUUUCAAUUCAAAAGUGAUGAACGAGCUGUAAGGAGAAAGGGGCAAGCAAACAUGCUGUCAUCUUAAACCCUCCCUUUUUUAUUUUUUUAGUUUAAGGAUGCAGUUUAGUAUCUUAAAUUUCUUUUUUUUUUUUUUUCCUCAUAAAACGUUUUCAGUUCUUCAUGAAAGUAGAAGAGAAAAUGCAUUCCAAAGAGGUUGAGAUGAAUCAGAUUCAAGCAAGAAAGCAAGUAAGGGAAGCAUGCAAUACUCAUUAUUUACUAUUUCAAAUGAAAAUGAAAUGGGUUUCCAUUAUGUGCUUUCUUGUCAGUAUUUGAAGUGAAGGACUGCUCUGACAUUUCUGGACUAAUAAUAGGUUGCUAAAUUCAUAAAUAAAUUAAGUGCUUUGGUCUUACUGCAGGAGAAGACAGAGGCAGAAAUUAAACAAUUGCGGAAAAGCCUUAAUUUCAAAGCAAAACCCAUGCCUUCUUUCUAUCAUGUUGCUACAGCACCAAGGUCCAAUGGAAACAAGGUACACAAGAAGCUAAGCUAUUGCUUUGAUUUUAUAAUGUAGCUCAUGUCUUUUGAUGUGAUUAGUGUACAUCUAGAAAGCAUGCACUCUUGACUGCGUAUCUACUUUGGAGGUUUAUAUAAUCAUAAUCUAGCAUAAUAGCUUCAGUGUCUCACAGAUUCUUCUUCAUUUCGUAUUUAAUUUUCUCAAAACGCAUUUAAUGUUUUGACGUUGCAUGUGGAACGAUCUAUUUAAUGCUAUAAGAAGCAAUAGUAGUAAAAGAAAGAAUGUUUAUAUUUUGUUCUUUGCCCAUUUGUUAUUGGCUUUUGGAUAUUUGUUGUUUUGGUUGCAGAAGUUUUUUCUUCUUGUUUCUUCAUGUUGGUUUUAGUAGACUUCAUUGUUCUCAAGACAGCUCUUAUAUUGGAUGUGAGAAUCUGAAACGAAUUACCUUAUCCAAAAGAAGCUGUUGAAGAAGGGAAAAUAAUAUGCAUGUUGGUUGAUGACUCAAGAAGUACAAGGUUGAUGUUUUUGGAGUUUGUAACCAUGGACUAUGUAUAAUUACUGAAUCCUGGUAGAGCUUUGUAUUGCUCCACGUAUGAUGGAAAAUAUGUGAUACUUAUUUUGGGCAUCAUAUUCUAAAUGAUCUUAAUAUCUAAGCAUAGGAAACACUGAAAUGACAUUCUACAUGGUUUAGUUUAUAAAUGAAUUUUUCCUUUCAAAAUGAUACUUCAUAUUGACUGUCGCUUUGAUAGGAAGUUGGAAAUGUAGACCUUAUUGUUGGACCUAUUAUAAUCUGAAUCCCUUAUAUUUCAUAUCUCUGUUCCAUUUGUCAAUAGAUUUAACACUAGCUUUCUUCUGUUUCGUUAUCAGGCUGCAUCAUCUACCAUAAAACCAGCUAAAGUACUACCAAAAGCAGCAAGUCCAGGAGUAGGAGCUACCGUAAGAUCACCACCACUCUCCAAGCAAGCUAAUAAAGAGGUCUUUUCUACUGGUGGGCCUGUAGGUGAGUUGAAUUUUUGUAGAGUUGAGUCAUCAUCUCAGUCUGGCAUCAUAUCCUCCACUCCACCAACUGGUAGUACCGGCUUCUCUGCAUCUCUAACACAAAACAUCGUCCUUUUGAAGAAAUAGAGAGGGAAAGAGCGCAGUAAUUUGCCAAAACAUGGAACAUCAGAGAAGGAUAAGGUCAUAAAAGAUCGUAAGAAUGGUGGGAUGCCAAAAGUGGGAGCUGAGAGAAUGAGGAAGAAUAACAUGAAAAGUGCUGGACUUGUUGCUAAUGCCAGUGGUUCUAGUAUAGGUCGUUUGACAGUAGUGGCUUCCUGAAACAAUCAGCCAUGGUUGUUCAUUUCAUUUUAGGCAGGGCAGCCAACGCAGGAAUCUUGGAAUUAUCAAGUCAUGUGUUGCGCCUUACCAGGAAUGCGGAUGGUGUUAGGUUUUACAUAGAAUACCAGACGGAAAUAGCGAAAUGGCAAGGCCAAUUAAUAGAUUGUUGAUAGUAGUCUACUCCUGACUCAAAACAACUCAAGUUAAACGGCGUGUAAUGUAACAAAUAUAGCUAGCUGGAAUGCUAGUCAAUAAUGGUAGCUUUGUUAUUGUUGUUGAAAAGUUAUUUGUCUCCCUUCUUACCGACCAACAUAUAGUCGCUACAAAGAUUAGAUUUGAAGCCAAGUGACUUCCACUUUUAUGCAGAUAAAUAGAAAACCUGGAAUCAAGCUUUGAAAGGCAUUCCCUUUUUUUAGCUUUGAGAAAAUCGUUUUAUUAUAGAAAAUCUCCAUUGUAGGUGAUGCAAUCAAGUAGGUAAGCAAAAUUGUAAUUUGAAACAAUUUAAAAAAAGAGGAAAACAAAUAUUAACAUAUACUCAACAAUCAUCUCAUCCAUUACCAAACAAAAGAUUUAAACAAAGUGCGUGAACCACCUCCACCACCCCUUUGAUUCCUUUGUCUUUUACUUCACCAUUUCUUUCUGCAACUAAAAACACAUCCAAAUCUCACCUUUCUUCUUCUGAUUACUCUCUUUAAACAUGGCUUAAUCAUAAUUACUUUUACGCAAAAUCUUCCUUUUUUCUCCUUUCACUAGCUAGAAAUUCCCUAAACUAGAAAUAACUAGAAUAAUAAAUACAACAAGAUUUGUGGUAGCAGUGGUGAUGAGUAUUGACCUUCCAGGACCAACUGUUGCUGCUGCUGACUGAUCAUCUGUUUGGUGUGGAGGUUUUCUAUAGUAGUAUGGGAAAUAAGGCAAGAUAGGGUCAGGAGGGGGCUGACCAUAUAAAGAAUUACCUCCACCAUAAGGUGGUGGUGGAUAGUAAUAUGGUAAGUUCCCUGUAGGUGGAGGGUAUACUCCUGUUUGGGAGGGUGGUGAGUAACUAGCUGGAGGUGUUU
Molecule: long non-coding RNA, 86586 nt
Filed under: Gossypium barbadense (sea-island cotton)
Lineage: Eukaryota; Viridiplantae; Streptophyta; Magnoliopsida; Malvales; Malvaceae
Description: long non-coding RNA (GBAR_LNC002516)
Source: RNAcentral